CGUGUCGAGGUCGAGAUGCCCAUUAGUUCCCAUGGGUGUCUUGAUGGGCUUUGCAUCCUUCAUCCGACUAUAGAAGAGUGAAAUGCUUUAUCAAAGGAAAUAAGAAAAAAGAAAGGGUAUGUUGCUACUCUUUUGAAAGAAAAAAGAAUAGGAGUUCCCGAAGUAAUGUCUAAACCCAAGGAUUUCACAAAUCAAAGAUAAAGGAUUCCGGAACAAGUAAACACGAUUUUCAACUGUCUCAACAAUAGAAUUAGAUCUGAAUAAGGAAUAAAAGUCAAUUUGUUCGAGAUGAGAUAAAGAAAAGAGUUUAGAGACGACUCAAAAAAUUUCGAAGGGUUUUUCUUUUGAAACUUUGUAAGUAUGUCUUGAAUGUACUUCGUUUGGCUAAUGAAGGUGCCCUCUUGGAGUUGCUUCACUUGAAAUCCUAAGAAAUACUUCAACUCCCCCAUCAUAGACAUCUCGAAUUUUUGAGUCAUGAUCCUACUAAAGUCUUCACAUGUAGAUUCGUUAGUAGACCCAAAUAUGAUAUCAUCAACAUAAAUUUGGCAUACAAACAAAUCAUUUGCAAGUGUUUUAGUAAAGAGAGUAGGAUCGACUUUUCCGACUUUGAAGCCAUUAGCGAUAAGAAAAUCUCUUAGGCAUUCAUACCAUGCUCUUGGGGCUUGCUUGAGUCCAUAAAGCGCCUUAGAGAGUUUAUAAACAUGGUUAGGGUACUCACUAUCUUCAAAGCCGGGAGGUUGCUCAACAUAGACCUCCUCCUUGAUUGGUCCAUUGAGGAAGGCACUUUUCACGUCCAUUUGAUAAAGCUUAAAGCCAUGGUAAGUAGCAUAGGCAAGUAAUAUACGAAUUGACUCAAGCCUAGCUACGGGUGCAUAGGUUUCACCGAAAUCCAAACCUUCGACUUGUGAAUAUCCCUUGGCCACAAGUCGGGCUUUGUUCCUUGUGACCACACCAUGCUCAUCUUGCUUGUUGCGGAAGACCCACUUGGUUCCUACAACAUUUUGGUUAGGACGUGGAACUAAAUGCCAUACCUCAUUCCUUGUGAAGUUGUUGAGCUCCUCUUGCAUUGCCAGCACCCAAUCCGAAUCUUGAAGUGCUUCCUCUACCCUGUGUGGCUCAAUAGAGGAAACAAAGGAGUAAUGUUCACAAAAAUGAGCAACACGAGAUCGAGUGGUUACCCCCUUAUGAAUGUCACCGAGGAUGGUGUUCACGGGGUGAUCUCGUUGGAUUGCUUGGUGGACUCUUGGGUGUGGCGGUCUUGGACCCUCAUCAUCUUCCUUGUCUUGAUCAUUAGCAUCUCCCCCUUGAUCAUUGUCCUCCUCUUGAGGUGGCUCCUCUUGAUCUUCAUCAUCAUCUUGAGUUGGUGGAGAUGCUUGCAUUGAGGAAGAUGGUUGAUCUUGUGCAUGUGGAGGAUCUUCGAAUUCCUUAGGACACACAUCCCCAAUGGACAUGUUCCUUAGCGCGAUGCAUGGAGCCUCUUCAUCAUCUAGCUCAUCAAGAUCAACUUGCUCUACUUGAGGGCCGUUAGUCUCAUCAAACACAAUGUCACAAGAAACUUUAACUAGUCCAAUGGACUUGUUAAAGACUCUAUAUGCCCUUGUGUUUGAAUCAUAACCUAGUAAAAAGCCUUCUACAGCCUUAGGAGCAAAUUUAGAUUUUCUACCUCUUUUAACAAGAAUAAAGCAUUUGCUACCAAACAUUAGGCUUUUUACCGGUUAGGAGUUCAUAAGAUGUCUUCCUGAGGAUUCGGUGAAGAUAUAACCGGUUGAUGGCGUAGCAAGCGGUGUUGACCGCCUCAGCCCAAAACCGAUCUGAAGUCUUGUAUUCAUCAAGCAUGGUCCUUGCCAUGUCCAAUAGAGUUCUAUUCUUCCUCUCCACUACACCAUUUUGUUGUGGCGUGUAGGGAGAAGAGAACUCAUGCUUGGUGCCCUCCUCCUCAAGGAAGCCUUUGAUUUGAGAGUUCUUGAACUCCGUCCCGUUGUCGCUUCUAAUCUUUUUGAUCCUUGAGCCGAACUCAUUUUGAGUCCGUCUUAAGAAUCCCUUUAAUGUCUCUUGGGUUUGUGAUUUUUCCUGCAAAAAGAACACCCAAGUGAAGCGAGAAUAAUCAUCCACAAUUACAAGACAAUACUUACUCCCACCGAUGCUUAUGUAAGCUAUCGGGCCGAAUAGGUCCAUGUGGAGUAGCUCAAGCGGCCUGUCGGUCGUCAUGAUGUUCUUGUGUGGAUGAUGAACACCAACUUGCUUUCCUGCUUGACAUGCGCUACAAACCCUGUCUUUCUCAAAAUGAACAUUGGUUAGUCCCAAAAUGUGUUCUCCCUUUAGAAGCUUAUGAAGAUUCUUCAUCCCAACAUGAGCUAGUCGGCGGUGCCAGAGCCAACCCAUGUUAGUCUUAGCAAUUAAGCAAGUGUCGAGUUCAGCUCUAUCAAAAUCUACUAAGUAUAGCUGACCCUCUAAUACUCCCUUAAAUGCUACUGAAUCAUCACUUCUUCUAAAGACAGUAACACCUAUACCCGUAAAAAGAUAGUUGUAGCCCAUUUUGCAUAAUUGAGAAACAGAAAGCAAAUUGUAAUCUAAAGAAUCUACAAGAAAAACAUUGGAAAUAGAGUGGUCAGGAGAUAUAGCAAUUUUACCCAAUCCUUUGACCAAACCUUGAUUUCCAUCCCCGAACGUGAUAGUUCAUUGGGGAUCUUGGUUUUUCUCGUAGGAGGAGAACAUCUUCUUCUCCCCUGUCAUGUGGUUUGUGCACCCGCUAUCGAUGAUCCAACUUGAACCCCCGGAUGCAUAAACCUACAAAACAAUUUUAGGCCUUGUUCUUAGGUACCCAAACGGUCUUGGGUCCUUUGACAUUAGAAACAAGCACCUUGGGUACCCAAACACAAGUCUUUGACCCCUUGUGUUUGCCCCCAACAUAUUUGGCAACUACUUUGCCUGAUUUGUUAGUUAGCACAUACGAAGCAUCAAAAGUCUUAAAUGAAAUGUUAUGUUCAUUUGAUGCAAUAGGAGUUUUCUUCUUAGGCAAUUUAGCACGAGUUGAUUGCCUAGAACUAGAUGCCUCACUCUUAUACAUAAAAGCAUGAUUAGAGCCAGAGUGAGACUUCCUAGAAUGAAUUCUCCUAAUUUUGUGCUCGGGAUAACCGAAAGGGUACAAAAUGUAACCCUCGUUAUCCUGAGGCAUGGGAGUCUUGCCCUUAACAAAGUUAGAUAAUCUUUUAGGAGGGGCAUUGAGUUUGACAUUGCCUCCCUGUUGGAAGCCAAUACCAUCCUUAAUGCCAGGGCGUCUCCCACUAUAGAGCAUACUACGAGCAAAUUUAAAUUUUUCAUUUUCUAACUCAUGCUCGGCAAUUUUAGCGUCUAAUUUUGCUAUAUGAUCAUUUUGUUGUUUAAUCAUAACAAUGUGAUCAUGAAUAGCAUCAAUGUUAACAUCUCUACAUCUAGUGCAAAUAGUAACAUGCUCAACGGUAGAUGUAGAGGGUUUGCAAGAAUUUAGUUCAACAAUCUUAGUAUGUAAAAUGUCAUUCUCAUCUCUAAGAUUGGAAAUAGAAACAUUGCAAACAUCUAAUUCCCUAGCCUUAGCAAUUAAUUUUUCAUUCUCAUUUCUAAGGCUAGCAAGAGAGGCAUUCGAUUUUUCAAUCUUAGCAAUUGAACUAACAUUGUCAUUUCUAAGAUUGUCAAAUGAAUCAUCACAAAUAUUUGACUUUUCAACCUUAGCAAUUAGUUUGGCAUUUUCAUUUCUAAGGUUGGAAAUAAUAUCAUGGCAAGUGCUUAGCUCACUAGACAAUUUUUCACAUUUUUCUACUUCCAGAGCAUAAGCAUUUUUAGUCUUAACAUAUUUUUGUUUUCCUUAAUAAGGAAGUCCUCUUGGCUAUCCAAGAGUUCAUCCUUCUCAUGAAUAGCACUAAUCAAUUCAUUUAAUUUCUCCUUUUGUUGCAUGUUAAGAUUGGCAAAAAGCGUCAAUAAAUCAUCCUCAUCAUCACUAGAGCUAGCCUCAUCACUUGAUGUUGCAUACUUAGUGGAGGAUCUAGAUUUUACCUUCUUCUUCUUGCCGUCCUUUGCCAUGAGGCACUUGUGGCCGAUGUUGGGGAAGAGGAGGCCUUUGGUGACGGCGAUGUUUGCGGCGUCCUCGUCGGAGGAGGAGUCGGUGUAGCUCUCGUCGGAGUCCCACUCCCGACAAACAUGGGCAUCGCCGCCCUUCUUCUUGUAGUACCUCUUCUUUUCUCUCCUCUUUCCCUUCUUGUCGUUAUCCCUGUCACUAUCACUAGACAAAGGGCAUUUAGUGAUAAAAUGACUGGUCUUACCACAUUUGUAGCAAACUUUCUUGGAGCGGGACUUGUGGUCUUUCCCCCUCCUUUGCUUAAGGAUUUGGCGAAAGCUCUUGAUGAUGAGCGUCAUCUCCUCAUUGUCGAGCUUGGAGGCGUCGAUGGGGACCCUACUAGGUGUAGAGUCUUCUUUCUUCUCCUCUGUUGCUUUGAAGGCGAUGGGUUGCACCUCGGGUGUUGAGGUGGCGCCUUGCUCGAUGAUCUUCUUGGAGCCUUUGAUCAUCAAUUCAAAGCUCACAAAUUUUCCUAUAACUUCCUCGGGGGACAUUAGCUUAUAUCUUGGAUCACCACGAAUUAAUUGUACUUGAGUAGGAUUAAGAAAUACAAGUGAUCUUAGAAUAACCUUGACCAUUUCAUGGUCAUCCCACUUGGAGCUCCCGAGGUUGCGCACUUGGUUUACCAAGGUUUUUAGCCGGUUGUACAUGGCUUGAGGAUCUUCUCAUUGGUUGAGCAUAAAGCGACUGAGCUCCCCCUCGAUCGUUUCCCGCUUGGUGAUUUUGGUCACCUCAUCUCCUUCGUGCGCGGUCUAGAGUACAUCCCAAAUCUCUUUGGCGCUCUUCAACCCUUGCACUUUAUUAUACUCCUCUCGACUUAGAGAGGUGAGGAGUAUAGUAGUCGCUUGAGAGUUGAAGUGCUCGAUUUGGGCCACCUUGUCCUCAUCAUAAUCUUCAUCCCCUACGGAUGGUACCUGUACUCCAAACUCAACAACAUCCCAUAUGCUUUUGUGGUUUGAGGUUAGGUGAUAUCUCAUCAUAUCACUCCACCUAGAAUAAUCUUCACCGUCAAACGUCGGUGGUUUGCCUAAUGGGACCGAAAGUAAUGGAGUAUGUCUAACAAUGCGAGAGUAGCGUAGGGGGAUCUUACUAUACUUCUUGCGCUCUUGACGCUUAGAAGUGAUGGAUGGCAUGUCGGAGCUGGAGGUGGAUGGCGAUGAAGAGUCGGUCUCGUAGUAGACCACUUUCUUCAUCUUCUUUUUCUUUUCGCCGCUCUGACGCGACUUGUUGUGUGAAGGGGAUCCCUUCACCUUGUUGCCGGACUCCCCGGAUGGAGCCUUCCCAUGGCUUGUGGCGGUCUUCUCACCGGUCAUCAUCUCCUUCUUGGCGUGAUCUCCCGACAUCACUUUGAGCGGUUAGGCUCUAAUGAAGUACCGGGUUCUGAUACCAAUUGAAAGUCGCCUAGAGGGGGGUGAAUAGGGCGAAUCUGAAAUUUAGAAACUUUAAGCACAACUACAAGUCGGGGUUAGCGUUAGAAAUAUAAACGAGUCCGAAAGAUAGGGCGAAAACAAAUCACAAGCGAAUAAGAGCGGAUGACACGGUGAUUUGUUUUACCGAGGUUCGGUUCUUGCAAACCUACUCCCCGUUGAGGUGGUCACAAAGACCGGGUCUCUUUCAACCCUUUCCCUCUCUCAAAUGGUCACUUAGACCGAGUGAGCUUCUUUUCUCAAUAAAACGGGACACUAAGUCCCCACAAGGACCACCACACAAUUGGUGUCUCUUGCCUUGGUUACAAUUGAGUUGGAAUCAAGAAAGAAUGAAGAAGAAAAGCAAUCCAAGCGCAAGAGCUCAAAUGAACACAAGUAUCUCUCUCUCACUAGUCACUAUUUGAUUGGAAUUGUCUUUGGACUUGGGAGAGGAUUUGAUCUCUUUGGUUGUGUCUUGUAUUGAAUGCUAUAGCUCUUGUAUGAGGUGGAAGGCUGAAAACUUGGAUGCCAUGAAUGGUGGGUGGUUGGGGUUAUUUAUAGCCCCAACCACCAAAGGAGCCGUUGGUGGAGGCUGCUGUCGCAUGGCGCACCGGACAGUCCGGUGCGCCAGCCACGUCACCCGACCGUUAGGGUUAGACCAUUGGAGCUUCUGUCUUCUGGGCCACCGGACAGUCACUGUUCACCGUCCGGUGCGCCUUCUGCUCUGCUCUGACUUCUGCGCGAACUGUAGCACAUUAACUGCUCUCUGCAGACGACCGUUGGCGCGAAGUAGUCGUUGCUCCGCUGGCACACCAGACAGUCCGGUGAAUUAUAGCAGAGCGGCUCCCAGAAUUCCCGAAGGUGAGCAGUUUAGAGUUGGGUUCCCUGGUGCACCGGACACUGUCCAGUGGUGCAUCGGACACUGUCCGGUGGCACACCGGACAGUCCGGUGCGCCAGACCAGGGCACACUUUGGUAGUAUUUUGCUCUCUUUGUUUGAACCCUUUCUUGGUCUUUUUAUUGGUUUAUUGUGAACCUUUGGCACCUGUAAAACUUAUAGUCUAGAGCAAACUAGUUAGUCCAAUUAUUUGUGUUGGGCAAUUCAACCACCAAAAUCAAUUAGGAAAAGGUGUAAGCCUAUUUCCCUUUCAAGAAGCAUGUUAAAGUUAAAAAUGCUUAUGCUCAGGAAGUAGAGAAGUGUGAAAAAUUAACUAGUGAGCUAAGCACUUGCCAUGAUAUCAUUUUCAACCUUAGAGAUGAGAAUGCUAAAUUGAUUGCUAAGGUUGAGAAAUUAAAUGAUUGUGAUGAUUCUCUUGUCAAACUUAAAAAUGAUAAUGCUAAUUUAAUUGCUAAGAUUGACAAGUUGAAUGAAUCAAUUGCUAGCCUUAAAAUAGAAAAUGAAAAAUUGAUUAUUAAGGCUAAAAAUUUAAAUCUUUGCAAUGAUAUUGUUUCCAAUCUUAGAAAUGAAGACGUCGUGUUACAUGCUAAGAUUGAUGAAUUAAAUGUUUGCAAACCCUCUACAUCUACCGUUAGUCAUGUCUCUAUUUGCACUAGAUGUAGAUAUGUUAAUGUUGAUGCUAUCCAUGAUCACAUUGCUAUGAUUAAACAACAAAAUGAUCAUAUAGCAAAAUUAGAUGCUAAAAUUGCCGAGCAUGAAUUAGAAAAUGAGAAAUUUAAAUUUGCUCAUAGUAUGCUUUAUAGUGGGAGACGCCCAGACAUUAAGGAUGGCAUUGGCUUCCAAAAGGGAGACAAUGUCAAGCUUAAUGCCCCCAAGAAAUUGUCCAACUUUGUUAAGGGCAAAGCUCCCAUGGCUCAAGAUAACGAGGGUUACAUUUUAUACCCUGCCGGUUAUCCCGAGCACAAAAUUAGGAGAAUUCACUCUAGGAAGUCUCACUAAAGCUCUCAUCAUGCUUUUAUGUAUAAGAGUGAGGCAUCUAGUUCUAGGCAAUCCACUCAUGUCAAAUUGCCUAAGAAGAAAACUCCUAUUGCAUCAAAUGAACCUAAUAUUUCAUUUAAAACUUUUGAUGCUUCUUAUGUGCUCACUAACAAAUCAGGCAAAAUAGUUGCCAAAUAUGUUGGGGGCAAACACAAGGGGUCAAAGACUUGUGUUUGGGUACCCAAGGUGCUUGUUUCUAAUGUGAAAGGACCCAAGACUGUUUGGGUACCUAAGAACAAGGCCUAAAAUUGUUUUGUAGGUUUAUGCAUCCGGGGGCUCAAGUUGGAUCAUCGACAGCAGGUGCACAAACCACAUGACAGGAGAGAAAAGGAUGUUCUCCUCCUACGAGAAAAACCAUGAUCCCCAAAGAGCUAUCACAUUCGGGGAUGGAAAUCAAGGUUUGAUCAAAGGACUUGGUAAAAUUGCUAUAUCUCCUGACCAUUCUAUUUCCAAUGUUUUUCUUAUAGAUUCUUUAUAUUACAAUUUGCUUUCUGUUUCUCAAUUAUGCAAAAUGGGCUACAACUGUCUUUUUACAGAUUUAGGUGUUACUGUCUUUAGAAGAAGUGAUGAUUCAGUAGCAUUUAAGGGAGUGUUAGAGGGUCAGCUAUACUUAGUUGAUUUGAAUAAAGCUGAACUCGACACUUGCUUAAUUGCUAAGACUAACAUGGGUUGGCUCUGGCACCGCCGACUAGCCCAUGUUGGGAUGAAGAAUCUUCAUAAGCUUCUAAACGGAGAGCACAUUUUGGGACUAACCAAUGUUCAUUUUGAGAAAGACAGGGUUUGUAGCGCAUGUCAAGCAGGGAAGCAAGUUGGUGUUCAUCAUCCACACAAGAACAUCAUGAUGAUCGAUAGGCCGCUUGAGUUACUCCACAUGGACCUAUUCGGCCUGAUCGCUUACAUAAGCAUCGACGGGAGUAAGUAUUGUCUUGUAAUUGUGGAUGAUUAUUCUCGCUUCACUUGGAUGUUCUUUUUGCAGGAAAAAUCACAAACCCAAGAGACCUUAAAGGGAUUCUUGAGACGGGCUCAAAAUGAGUUCGGCUUAAGGAUCAAAAAGAUUAGAAGCGCCAACGGGACGGAGUUCAAGAACUCUCAAAUUGAAGGCUUCCUUGAGGAUGAGGGCAUCAAGCAUGAGUUCUCUUCUCCCUACACACCACAACAAAAUGAUGUAGUGGAGAGGAAGAAUAGAACUCUACUUGACAUGGCGAGGACCAUGCUUGAUGAGUACAAGACUUCAGACCGGUUUUUGGCGGAAGCAAUCAAGACCGCUUGCUACGCCAUCAACCAUCUCUACCUUCACCGAAUCCUUAAGAAGACAUCAUAUGAACUCCUAACAGGUAAAAAGCCCAAUGUUUCAUAUUUUAGAGUAUUUGGUAGCAAAUGUUUUGUUCUUGUUAAAAGAGGUAGAAAAUCUAAAUUUGCUCCUAAGACUGUAGAAGGCUUUUUACUUGGUUAUGAUUCAAACACAAGGGCAUAUAGAGUCUUUAACAAGUCCACUGGACUAGUUGAAGUUUCUUGUGACAUUGUGUUUGAUGAGACUAACGGCUCUCAAGUAGAGCAAGUUGAUCUUGAUGAGCUAGAUGAUGAAGGGGCUCCGUGCGUCGCGCUAAGGAACAUGUCCAUUGGGGAUGUGUGUCCUAAGGAAUCAGAAGAGCCUCCACAAGCACAAGAUCAACCAUCUUCCUCCAUGCAAGCAUCUCCACCAACUCAAGAUGAGGAUCAAACUCAAGAGGAUGAAAAUGAAGAUCAAGAAGAUGAGCCACCUCAAGAAGGGCACAAUGAUCAAGGGGGAGAUGCCCAUGAUCAAGACAAGGAAGAUGAUGACGAUCCAAGGCCGCCACACCCAAGAGUCCACCAAGCAAUACAACGAGAUCACCCUGUGAACUCCAUCCUCGGUGAUAUUCAAAAGGGGGUAACCACUCGAUCUCGUGUUGCUCAUUUUUGUGAACAUUACUCUUUUGUGUCUUCUAUUGAGCCAUACAGGGUGGAAGACACAUUAAGGGAUUCGGAUUGGGUGUUGGCAAUGCAAGAGGAACUCAACAACUUCACAAGGAAUGAGGUAUGACAUUUAGUUCCACGUCCUAACCAAAAUGUUGUAGGCACCAAGUGGGUCUUCCGCAACAAACAAGAUGAGCAUGGUGUGGUGACAAGGAACAAAGCCUGACUUAUGGCCAAGGGAUAUUCACAAGUCGAAGGUUUGGAUUUCGGUGAAACCUAUGCACCCGUAGCUAGGCUUGAGUCAAUUCGUAUAUUACUUGCCUAUGCUACUUACCAUGGCUUUAAGAUCUAUCAAAUGGACGUGAAAAGUGCCUUCCUUAAUGGACCAAUCAGGGAGGAGGUCUAUGUUGAGCAACCUCCCGGCUUUAAAGAUAGUGAGUACCCUAACCAUAUCUAUAAACUCUCUAAGGCGCUUUAUGGGCUCAAGCAAGCCUCAAGAGCAUGGUAUGAAUGACUAAAAGAUUUUCUUAUCGCUAUUGGCUUCAAAGUCAGAAAAGCUGAUCCUACUCUCUUUACCAAAACUAUUUGUCGGCGUUUCGGAACCCGGGGGUCCCUGGACCGACGAGUAAACUGUCGUCGCGUGCCCCAGCCCAGAUGGGUCGGCGCGAGAUACAGCGCGAAGGGGGGAAGGCAGCCGGAGGGAGACGGGCGUGAGAGGUGGAAAUCCCGCGGCCUUCGUGUUUGUCCCGCGCCCAGGUCGGGUGCGCUUGCAGUAGGGGGUUACAAGCGUCCACGCGGGAGGGAGCGAGCGGCCUCACACGAGCGCCUGUCCCGUCCUUCCCCGCGUGGCCAACCCUCUGUAAGAGGGCCCUAUUCCUUCCUUUUAUAAGCGCAAGGAGAGGAUCCAGGUGUACAAUGGGGGUGUAGCAGUGUGCUAACGUGUCUAGCGGAGGAGAGCUAGCGCCCUAAGUACAUGCCAUCGUGGCAGCCGGAGAGGUUUUCGCACCCGGUUCGUGUGGUGUCGUGGCCGUCGGAGGAGCGCUGGAGCCUGGCGGAAGGACUGCUGUCGGGGCUGUCAAGUCCUUGCUGACGUCCUCUUGCUUCCGUAAGGGGGCUGAGAGCCGCCGUCGUCAUAGAGCGUGCGGGGCGCCAUCAUUACUUGUCUGGCGGAGCGAGCCAGAUGGGACGCCGGUCUUGUUCCCCGUAGCCUGAGUCAGCUUGGGGUAGGGUAAUGAUGGCGCCUCCUGUUGACGUGGUCGGUCCAUGCCCUGGGUUGGGCGAUGUGGAGGCUCCUCCGAGGUCGAGGUCGAGUCUGUCUUCCAAGGCCGAGGUCGAGUCCGAGCCCCUGGGUCGGGCGAGGCGGAGACCGUUGGCUGAGGCCAGGGCUUGAGUCCGAGCCCUGGGGUCGGGCGAAGCGGAGUUCGUCGUCUUCCGGGGCUGAGCCCGAGUCCGAGUCCUGGGGUCGGCCGAAGCGGAGUUCGUCGUCUUCCAGGGCUGAGCCCGAGUCCGAGCCCUAGGGUCUGGCGAAGUGGAGUUCGUCGUCUUCCGGGGCUGAGCCCGAGUCCGAGCCCUGGGGUCGGGCGAAGCGGAGUUCGUCGUCUUCCGGGGUUGAGCCCGAGUCCGAGCCCUGGGGUCGGGCGAAGCGGAGUUCGUCGUCUUCCGGGGCUGAGCCCGAGUCCGAGCCCUGGGGUCGGGCGAAGCGGAGUUUCCUAUGGCGCCUGAGGCCGGACCUGGCUGUUGUCAGCCUUACUCUGUCGAGUGGCACAACAGUCGGAGCGGCGCAGGCGGCGCUGUCCUCUUGUCAGACCAGUCAGUGGAGCGGCGAAGUGACUGCGGUCACUUCGGCUCUGUCGACUGGAGGGCGCGCGUCAGGAUAAAGGUGUUAGGCCACCUUUGCAUUAAAUGCCCCUGCGAUUUGGUUGGUUGGCGUGGCGAUUUGGCCAAGGUUGCUUCUUGGUGAAGACUGGGCCUUGGGCGAGCCGAAGGUGUGUCCGUUGCUGGAGGGGGGCCUCGGGCGAGACGUAGAUCCUCCGGGGUCGGCUGCCCUUGCCCGAGGCUGGGCUCGGGCGAGGCGUGAUCGCGUCCCUCGAAUGGACCAAUCCUUGACUUAGUUACACCCAUCAGGCCUUUGCAGCUUUGUGGUGAUGGGGGUUACCAGCUGAGAUUUAGGAGCCUUGAGGGUACCCCUAAUUAUGGUCCCCGACAGUAGCCCCCGAGCCUCGAAGGGAGUGUUAACACUCGCUUGGAGGCUUUUGUCGCACUUUUUUGCAAGGGGACCAGCCUGUCUCGGUUGCGUUUUGUUCCAGUGGGUGUAGCCCCCGAGGCCUCGGAGGAGUGGUUUGACUCCUUCGAGGUCUUAAUGCCUUGCGCAAUGCUUCGGCUGGUCUGGUUGUUCCCUCAUGCGAGCUGGCCGUAGCCCGGGUGCACGGUCGGGUCCCAAGUUCUCGGGCUGGUAUGUUGACGCUGUCAACGGUUUGGCCGGAGCCAGGUUUGCGAGAGCAGCCCCCGAGCCUCUGCACAGGGCAAGAGGACGGUCAAGGACAGACUCGACUUUUUUGCAUACGCCCCUGCGUCGCCUUUCCGCAAGGAGGAGGGGGGGAAAGCGCCAUGUUGCCCUCGGAGGGCGCCGAACAUGGUGUCUCCGUUGAGCUGCUGGCGGGUAAUCCGAGUGGACGCCCGUGCCCCAUUUGUUAGGGGUCGGCUAGAGGCCCGGAGGCGCGCUCAAAAGUACCUGCCGGUGAUCUACCGGACCCGGUCCCCUUUCGAUGGGGUCCGAGGGCUCGAUGCCUCCCUCUGAUGGGAUUCCAUUACAAGAUCGUUCCCGCUGGUCUCGGAAAUGUCCUAGGGUACCUCGGGAGCGUAGCCCGAGCCUUGGUUAUGUAUCGAACGUACCCAGGGUCAUCCCUCGCUCUGUGUCUGAGGCGGCUAUGAACCCUUCGAGGGCCAGCCUACGAACCCCUGAUCAGUAGUGGGCGCGAAGCCCGAGUGGCCUGAGGCGGCAGUUGAACCCUUCCGAGGGGCCGACCUUCGAACCUCUGACCAGUAGUGGGUGCAGAACCCAAGCGCUCUGAGGCGGCUGUUGAACCCCUCCGAGGGGCCAGCCUUCGAACCUCUGAUCAGUAGGGAGGCUCGGGGCCUGUUUCCUUCAUGGAGAAGGAUCCUUUUUGGGGUAUCCCCCUUUCCCGGUCCCUGUUGUAAGAGAGAGAAAGAGGAAAAGGAAAAUGAUACAAAAUCGAAUGACGUGGCGUACCUUUUUUGACGAGAUCAUUAUGGCGAAGGCAAAGCGUCGCUCGCUUCCCCUGCCAGAGGCGCCGCCUGUCCCGCCGCGGAGUUAAUGCGACAGGGCGAGUGGUUCGCAGGGCGGCCGUUGCGUGCCCGUGUUCCGUUCCUGGCCGGGUCGUCCACUGGCGGGACCGACGCGCGGAACUGAGUUGCCGAAGCCUCGGGCCGGGCUGAUGUCUUCGGGGGACAGCUGGCCGAGGCCUCGGGGUGACCGGCCGAGCCGUCUGCUCGAGCCGGGCUCCUGGAGAAGACCCUGGCGGCGAUGGCCCGGGCAUGGUGAUGAUGUCGUCCUUCAGAGUGGAGAUUCUCCGAUUGCUUCGCCGUCCGAGGCUAGGUCGGACCUCGUCGAAGGUGUAGUUGACGCCGAGGGUGCUGCUGCUCCCUUCAACUGUCAAGAUCCGAGCCUGCAGGAUCAGAUUAUCUUGUAGUGUGUGUAUGUUUUCUGCGGCCGCCGAGGCCCAAACACACCAUCGUCGUGUUGUAAAGCUGCGCUUCUUUUCCUCUUGUUUCGAGUAUCUGGACUUUUUCGUCGGUAACAGAAUUGUCUGUGCGAGCGAGAGUUGCUUUUCACGGAAGGCGAUGAGUGAGGUAUCCGUAUCCCGGAGGCGUAGGAAUCCCUUGGCUCGGUCGGCCCUACCGCUUACGCGUACUCUUGCCCGUCCAUAGGGUUCUAUCACCGACGCAGUCGAGAAGGCCCGAAGAAUCGCUUCGGCAGAGGAGCUUUCGAGCGUGAAGACUUGUUCGGUCCGCGGAAUCACUUAUCCGAACGCGAGUUACUUAUCACAGAAGGUGAUGAGUGAGGUAUCCGUAUCCCGGAGGCGUAGGAGUCCCUCGGCUCGGUCAGCCUUGGCUGCUUACGUGUACUCCGUCGUUUUCAGGAUCCACUUUCGAAGUAGUCGAAAAAGCACGAAAGACAUUCUGGCAGAAAAGAUCUUUUUUCGAGGAAAAUUUCGACGUAGAGGGGGUUCCCCCUUUUAGCCCCCGAGGGAGGGUCGGGCUUUGCCGAGGCAAGGCUGACCCUUCCUUGAUGACUAAACUUUGCGUGGGAACGAGGCAUACGAACAACUUGAAAGCAUCUUAAGGGUAGAAGCGACGUAGUUGUUGGAUGUUCCAAGCGUUACUGUAGACCUCGCCUUAACUGUUGGCCAGCUUGUAUGUUCCGAGCUUCUGAAUUUUGGCGAUGACGAACGGCCCCUCCCAGGGAGGCGUGGGCUUGUGCCGCCCUCGGGCGUCUUGUCGCAGCCGAAGCACCAGGUCGCCCGCCUGGAGGUCUCGGGACCGAACCCCUCGGGCGUGGUAGCGUCACAGGGACUGCUGGUACCGCGCCGAGUGUAGUAAGGCCAUGUCCCGAGCCUCUUCCAGCUGGUCCAGCGAGUCUUCUCGAUUAGCUUGAUUGCUUUGGUCGGCGUAGGCCCUCGUCCUCGGGAAACCGUAUUCUAUGUCUGUGGGCAGGAUGGCCUCGACCCCAUAGACUAGAAAGAACGGCGUGAAGCCCGUGGCUCGGCUCGGUGUUGUCCUCAGACUCCAGACCACCGAGGGGAGUUCCUUCAUCCAUCGCUUGCCGAACUUGUUGAGGUCAUUGUAGAUCCGAGGCUUGAGUCCUUGUAGAACCAUGCUGUUGGCACGCUCUACUUGCCCAUUCGUCAUGGGGUGAGCCACGGCGGCCCAGUCCACCCGGAUGUGGUGAUCCUCGCAGAAGUCCAGGAACUUUCUGCCGGUGAACUGGAUGCCGUUGUCGGUGAUGAUGGAGUUCGGGACCCCAAAGCGAUGGAUGAUGUUGGUGAAGAACGCCACCGCCUGUUCGGACCUGAUGCUGUUUAGGGGUCGAACCUCGAUCCACUUGGAGAAUUUGUCGAUGGCGACCAACAGGUGCGUGUAGCCCCCGGGUGCCUUCUGCAAGGGGACGACGAGGUCCAGACCCCACACAGCAAAAGGCCAGGUGAUGGGUAUCGUCUGCAGGGCCUGAGCGGGCAGGUGGGUCUGCCUUGCGUAGAACUGACACCCUUCGCAGGUGCGGACAAUUCUAGUGGCGUCGACCACCGCCGUCGGCCAGUAGAAACCUUGUCGGAAGGCGUUUCCAACAAGGGCUCGAGGUGCUGCGUGAUGGCCGCAAGCCCCUGAGUGUAUCUCUUGUAGGAGCUCCUGGCCUUCGGCGAUGGAAAUGCAUCGCUGGAGGAUGCCUGAGGGGCUGCGGUGGUAGAGUUCCUUCCCGUCCCCCAGCAAGACAAACGACUUGGUGCGCCGCGCCAACCGCCGAGCUUCGGCUCGGUCAAGGGGUAGCUCUCCUCGGUGGAGAUAUUGCAGGUACGGGGUAUGCCAGUUUCGAUUUGGUGUGACCCCGCUUCGCUCCUCCUUGAUGCGUAGUGCCUCACCCUCGGGGGCCGAGGGUACCUCGGGCCGAACCGAGGGUGCAUCGGGCUGGGCCGGGGGUAACUCAGACUGAGCCGAGGGUACCUCGGACUGAGCCGAGGGUACCUCGGACUGAGCCGAGGGUGCCUCAGGCUCGGCCGAGGCCUUCUCGGGCUCGGGCGUGUCGUCGGUCUUGACGGAGGGUUGAUGCAGGUCUCGGGAGAAGACGUCCGGGGGAACCGUUGUUCACCCCGAGGCUAUUUUAGCCAGCUCGACCGCAGUCUCGUUGUAGCGUCGGGCGAUGUGGUUGAGCUCGAGCCCAUAGUACUUGUCUUCCAGGCGCCGAACCUCAUCGCAGUAGGCUUCCAUCUUUGGGUCGCGGCAGUGGGAGUUCUUCAUGACUUGGUCGAUGACGAGCUGUGAGUCACCGCGAGCGUCGAGGCGUCGGACCCCUAGCUCAAUGGCAAUGCGCAAACCGUUGACCAGAGCCUCAUACUCAGCCACAUUGUUGGACGCCGGGAAGUGGAGGCGUAGCACGUAGCGUAGGUGCUUUCCGAGGGGCGAGAUGAAGAGCAGGCCUGCGCCUGCCCCUGUCUUCAUCAGCGACCCGUCGAAGAACAUGGUCCAGAGUUCCGGUUGGAUCGGAGCUGUUGGGAGCUGGGUGUCGACCCAUUCAGCCAUGAAGUCCGCCAAGACCUGGGACUUGAUGGCCUUCCGAGGGGCGAACGAGAUCGUUUCACCCAUGAUUUCCACCGCCCACUUCGCAAUUCUACCCGAGGCCUCUCGGCACUGGAUGAUCUCCCCUAGGGGGAAGGAUGACACCACAGUUACCGGAUGAGACUCGAAGUAGUGUCUUAAUUUCCACCGCGUCAGGAUCACCGCGUAUAGCAGCUUCUGAAUUUGUGGGUAGCGGAUCUUGGUCUCGGACAGUACCUCGCUGAUGAAGUAGACUGGCCUCUGGAUGGGCAAUGCAUGCCCCUCUUCACGUCUCUCAACCACAAUCGUGGCGCUAAGCACCUGAGUGGUCGCGGCGACGUAGAUCAAGAGGGCUUCUCCGGCAGCGGGAGGCACCAAGGUGGGCGCGUUCGUGAGGAGCGCCUUCAAGUUCCCGAGGGCUUCCUUGGCCUCAGGGGUCCAAGUGAAGCACUCGGCCUUCCUUAGGAGGCGGUACAGAGGCAGGCCUCUUUCGCCGAGGCGCGAGAUGAAACGUGUCAGGGACCAUAAUUAGGGGUACCCUCAAGACUCCUAAUUCUCAGCUGGUAACCCCCAUCAGCACAAAGCUGCAAAGGCCUGAUGGGUGCGACUAAAUCAGGGAUCGGUCCAUUCGAGGGACUCGAUCAUGCCUCGCCCGAGCCUAGCCUCGGGCAAGGGCAGCCGACCCCGGAGGAUCUCCGUCUCGCCCGAGGCCCCCCUCCAGCGACGAACAUACUUCUGGCUCGCCCGAGGCUCAGUCUUCGCCAAGAAGCAACCCUGGCCAAAUCGCCACGCUAACCGACCAAAUCACAGGGGCAUUUAAUGCAAAGGUGGCCUGACACCUUUAUCCUGACGCACGCCCUCCAGUCGACAGAGCCGAAGUGACCGCAGUCACUUCGCCGCUCCACUGACCGGCCUGACAGAAGGACAGCGCCGCCUACGCCGCUCCGACUGCUGUGCCACUCGACAGAGUGAGGCUGACCGGUAGUCAAGCCCGGCCUCAGGCACCAUAGGAAACUCCGCUUCGCCCGACCCAGGGCUCGGACUUGGGCUCAGCCCCAGAAGACGGCGAACUCCGCUCCGCCCGACCCAGGGCUCGGACUCGGGCUCAGCCCCAGAAGACGACGAACUCCGCUUCGCCCGACCCCAGGGCUCGGACUCAGCCCUGGCCUCCACCGAUGGUCUCCGCCUCGCCCUACCUAGGGGCUCGGACUCGACCUCGGCCUCGGAAGACAGACUCGACCUCGGCCUCGGAGGAGCCUCCACAUCGCCCAACCUAAGGCACGGACCGACCACGUCAACAGGAGGCGCCAUCAUUACCCUACCCCAAGCUGACUCGGGCUACGGGGAACAAGACCGGUGCCUCAUCUGGCUCGCUCCGCCAGACAAGUAAUGAUGGCGCCCCGCACGCUCUAUGACGAUGGCGGCUCCCAGCCCCCUUACGGAAGCAAGAGGACGUCAGCAAGGACUCGACAGCCCCGAUAGCUGUCCUUCCGCCAGGCUCCAGCGCUCCUCCGACGGCCACGACACCACACGAACCGAGUGCCAAAACCUCUCCGGCUGCCACGAUGGCAUGUACUUAGGGCGCUAGCUCUCCUCCGCUAGACACGUUAGCACUCUGCUACACCCCCCCAUUGUACACCUGGAUCCUCUCCUUACGCCUAUAAAAGGAAGGACCAGGGCCCUCUUACAGAGGGUUGGCCACGCGGGGAAGAGGAUGGGACAGGCGCUCGCGCGCGUGAGGCCGCUCGCUCCCCUCCCGCGUGGACGCUUGUAACCCCCUACUGCAAGCGCACCCGACCCGGGCGCGGGACAAACACGAAGGCCGCGAGAUUCCCACCUCUCUCUCUCUCGCGCUCCGGCUGCCUUUUUCCCCCUUCGCUCCGUCUCGCGCCGACCCAUCUGGGCUGGGGCACGCGGCGACAUCCUCACUCGUCGGCGCAGGGACCCCCCGGUCUCAAAACGCCGACAGUUGGCGCGCCAGGUAGGGGCCUGCUGCGUGUUGACGAACAGCUACCCGUCAAGCUCCAGAUGGGCAGUCUCCAGCAACCUUUCCAGCCCAGGAUGAUGCUCCGUUUCGGGAGUCUUGAAUUCAUGUCCCUCGACGGCAGCUACGACAUGAUACUCCUUCCCCAGCCGUGCGACAGCGACAAUGGUGGCCGACAGCCCGCCCGCCGGCGGUGGAAUCGACGACGUCUUCCCCGCGUGGUGGAAGAACAACAUUCGAGUUCACCCCGCCCUCUCCCCCGCCGACGGAGGAGGAGGCGGAGCAACUAAGGCCAUGCAGGAGGCGACACCUCGUCGACUGUCGAGCGAGUCGACGGCGCCCCAACGGGGGGCACGUCGGGCAUCGACCUCGCGUUAGAGACGAAGACGAGCGCCGUCUCCCCGCAACACGCCAAUUCCAAGCAAACGGAUGAUGCCAGCACGCUCGCGAAAGGCUUGCUGGGCGUCACCCUCGUACCUGAGACGACGGUGCAGUCAGUCCCUGACGUGACUCCGUCACCGCCCGUCGACCAAGAGGUACCCACCGAUUCCCAUCUCACGCCCUUUGGAUUCAGCCUCGACCCGCCAAGCGACUUCGCUUUGGCGGACGCUCUCGUAGAGGCGAGUCCAAACCCUGUGGGGUUUCGUAUGCGGUCACCCUGGGACCGGCUGACGGACGUCUCGACCUACGGGCCCUCGGGGUCCGAGGAAGAUGACGUGUCCGACUUCUGUUGGGAUUUCUCCAGACUUGGUAACCCCAGUGCCAUGCGGGACUUCAUGACCGCAUGCGACUACUGCCUUUCCGACUGUUCAGACGGUAGCCGCAGCCUCAGCGACGAGGACUGCGGCCCAAGUCGUGAAUGUUUCCACGUCGAUCUAGGGGGUCCCUCCGAAGGCAACCAUCUUGGUAUGCCGGAGGACGGUGAUCUCCCUAGGCCUGUGCCUCGUGUUGACAUCCUACGGGAGCUAGCUGUGGUCCCCGUUCAGGCGGGGGGUCAUGACCCACAGCUCGAGCAAAUCCGCGGGGUGCAGGCCAGGCUCGACGAGGGAGAAGGAACACUUGAGCCGAUCCGCCGGGAUAUCGGGCAGGAAUGGGCGGGCCAACCUCCGGCCGGAGAAGUGCGCCAUCUACCCCAGGGUACCCAGCACCGUGUCGCCGACGAUGUCAGGGUGAGGCCGCCACCCGCUUCCAGUGGAGUCGGCCAGAACCUGGCUGCAGCGGCAAUGCUUCUCCGCGCUAUGUCGGAGCCAUCAACCACCGAGGGGCGGUGAAUCCAGGGAGAGCUCAAGAAUCUCCUGGAGGGCGCCGCGGUUCGACGGGCCGAGAGCUCCGCCUCCCUAAGGCAGGGGUACCCCUCGGAACAUCACGCCGCGACUUCCCGAUUCAUGCGGGAAGCCUCGGUCCACACCGGGCGCACGCGCAACACAGCGCCUGCGGCCCCGGGUCGCCUCGACAACGAGCACCAUCACCGCGACCGUCGGACCCACCUCGACGAGAGGGUGCGCCGAGGCUACCACCCCAGGCGUGGGGGACGCUACGAUAGCGGGGAGGAUCGGAGUCCCUCGCCCGAACCAUCCAGUCCACAGGCUUUCAGCCGCGCCAUACGACGGGCGCCGUUCCCUACCCGGUUCCGAACCCCGACUACUAUCACAAAGUACUCGGGGGAGACGAGACCGGAACUGUGGCUCGCAGACUACCGGCUGGCCUGCCAACUGGGUGGAACGGACGAUGACAACCUCAUCAUCCGCAACCUCCCCCUGUUCCUCUCCGACACCGCUCGCUCCUGGUUGGAGCACCUGCCUUCGGGGCAGAUCUCCAACUGGGACGACCUAGUCCAAGCCUUCGUCGGCAAUUUCCAGGGCACGUACGUGCGCCCUGGGAACUCCUGGGACCUCCGAAGCUGCCGACAGCAGCCGGGAGAGUCUCUCCGGGACUACAUCCGGCGAUUCUUGAAGCAGCGCACCGAGCUGCCCAACAUCACCAAUUCGGAUGUCAUCGGCUCGUUCCUCGCUGGCACCACUUGCCGCGACCUGGUCAGCAAGCUGGGUCGAAAGACCCCCACUAGGGCGAGCGAGCUGAUGGACAUCGCCACCAAGUUCGCCUCUAGCCAGGAGGCGGUUGAGGCUAUCUUCCAGAAGGACAAGCAGCCCCAGGGCCGCCCACCGGAAGACGCCCCCGAGGCGUCAACUCAGCGCGGCGCCAAGAAGAAAGGCAAGAAGAAGUCACAAGCGAAACGCGACGCCGCCGACGCGGACCUUGUCACCGCCGCCGAGUACAAGAACCCUCGGAAACCCCCCGGAGGUGCCAACCUCUUCCUUGAGGAGUGCGCCAUGCUUCGGCGCCACUUCCACAGGGCCAGGCCACCCGCGGAGGGUGGCAGGGCUCGCGACGACGACAAGAAGGAAGAUCACCAGGCAGGAGAGUUCCCCGAGGUCCGCGACUGCUUCAUGAUCUACGGUGGGCAAGCGGCAAACGCCUCGACUCGGCACCGCAAGCAAGAGCGUCGGGAGGUCUGUUCGGUGAAGGUGGCGGUGCCAGUCUACCUAGACUGGUCCGACAAGCCCAUCACCUUCGACCAAGCCGACCACCCCGACCACGUGCCGAGCCCAGGGAAAUACCCGCUCGUUGUCGACCCCGUCAUCGGUGACGUCAGGCUCACCAAGGUCCUCAUGGACGGAGGCAGCAGCCUCAACAUCAUCUACGCUGAGACCCUCGGGCUCCUGCAUGUUGAUCUAUCCUCGGUCCGGGCAGGCGCUGCGCCUUUCCACAGGAUCAUCCCCGGGAAGCGCGUCCAGCCCCUCGGACAACUCGACCUUCCUGUCUGCUUCGGAACACCCUCCAACUUCCGAAGGGAGACCCUCACGUUCGAGGUGGUCGGGUUCCGAGGAACCUACCACGCAGUACUGGGGAGGCCAUGCUACGCGAAGUUCAUGGACGUCCCCAACUACACCUACCUCAAGCUCAAGAUGCCGGGCCCCAACGGGGUCAUCACCGUCGGCCCCACGUACAAACACGCGUUCGAAUGCGACAUGGAGUGCAUGGAGUACGCUGAGGCCCUCGCCGAAUCCGAGGCCCUCAUCGCCGACCUGGAGAGCCUCUCUAAGGAGGUGCCAGACGUGAAGCGCCACGCCGGCAACUUCGAGCCAGCGGAGACGGUUAAGUCCGUCCCCCUCGACCCCAGCAGCGACGCCUCCAAGUAGAUCCGGAUCGGCUCCGAGCUCGAUCCCAAAUAGGAAGCAGUGCUCGUCGACUUUCUCCGCGCAAACGCCGACGUUUUUGCGUGGAGUCCCUCGGACAUGCCCGGCAUACCGAGGGAUGUCGCCGAGCACUCGCUGGAUAUCCGAGCUGGAGCCCGACCCAUGAAGCAGCCUCUGCGCCGAUUCGACGAAGAAAAGUGUAGAGCCAUAGGCGAGGAGAUCCACAAGCUAAUGGCGGCAGGGUUCAUCAAAUAGGUAUUCCAUCCCGAAUGGCUUGCCAACCCUGUGCUUGUGAGAAAGAAAGGAGGGAAAUGGCGGAUGUGUGUAGACUACACUGGUCUAAACAAAUCAUGUCCGAAGGUUCCCUAUCCUCUGCCUCGCAUCGAUCAAAUUGUGGAUUCCACUGCUGGGUGCGAAACCCUGUCUUUCCUCGAUGCCUACUCAGGGUAUCACCAAAUCAGGAUGAAGGAGUCCGACCAGCUCGCAACUUCUUUCAUCACACCCUUCGGCAUGUACUGCUAUGUCACCAUGCCGUUCGGCUUGAGGAAUGCGGGCGCGAUGUACCAGCGGUGCAUGAACCAUGUGUUCGACGAACACAUUGGCCGGACGGUCGAGGCCUACGUCGAUGACAUCAUAGUCAAGACGAGGAAAGCCUCCGACCUCCUUUCCAACCUUGAAGUGACAUUUCGAUGUCUCAAGGCGAAAGGCGUGAAGCUUAAUCCCAAGAAGUGUGUCUUUGGGGUUCCUCGAGGCAUGCUCUUGGGGUUCAUCGUCUCCGAGCGGGGCAUCGAAGCCAACCCGGAGAAGAUCGCGGCCAUCACCAGCAUGGGGCCCAUCAAGGACUUGAAGGGCAUACAGAGAGUCACGGGAUGUCUUGCGGCUCUGAGCCGCUUCAUCUCAUGCCUCGGCGAAAGAGGCCUGCCUCUGUACCGCCUCUUAAGGAAGGCCGAGUGCUUCACUUGGACCCCUGAGGCCGAGGAAGCCCUCGGGAACCUGAAGGCGCUCCUCACGAACGCGCCCAUCUUGGUGCCCCCCGCUGCCGGAGAAGCCCUCUUGAUCUACGUCGCCGCGACCACUCAGGUGGUUAGUGCCGCGAUCGUGGUUGAGAGACGAGAAGAAGGGCAUGCAUUGCCCGUCCAGAGGCCAGUCUACUUCAUCAGCGAGGUACUGUCCGAGACCAAGAUCCGCUACCCACAAGUUCAGAAGUUGCUGUACGCGGUGAUCCUGACGCGGCGGAAGUUGCGACACUACUUCGAGUCUCAUCCGGUAACUGUGGUGUCAUCCUUCCCCCUGGGGGAGAUCAUCCAGAGCCGAGAGGCCUCGGGUAGAAUCGCAAAGUGGGCGGUGGAAAUUAUGGGCGAAACGAUCUCGUUCGCCCCUCGGAAGGCCAUCAAGUCCUAGGUCUUGGCGGACUUCGUGGCUGAGUGGGUCGACACCCAGCUCCCAACAGUUCCGAUUCAACCGGAACUCUGGACCAUGUUCUUCGACGGGUCGCUGAUGAAGACAGGAGCCAGCGCAGGCCUACUCUUCAUCUCGCCCCUCGGGAAGCACCUACGCUACGUGCUACGCCUCCACUUCCCGGUGUCCAACAAUGUGGCUGAGUACGAGGCUCUGGUCAAUGGGUUGCGCAUCGCCAUCAAGCUAGGGGUCCGGCGCCUCGACGCUCGCGGUGACUCGCAACUCGUUAUCGACCAAGUCAUGAAGAACUCCCACAGCCGCGACCCGAAGAUGGAAGCCUACUGCGAUGAGGUUCGGCGCCUGGAAGACAAGUUCUACGGGCUCGAGCUCAACCAUAUCGCCCGGCGCUACAACGAGACUGCGGACGAGCUGGCUAAAAUAGCCUCAGGGCGAACAACGGUUCCCCCGGACGUCUUCUCCCGAGACCUGCGUCAACCCUCCAUCAAGAUCGACGACACGCCCGAGCCCGAGGCAUCCUCGGCCCAGCUCAAGGUACCCUCGACUCAGUCCGAGGCACCCUCGGCUCGGCCCGAGGCACCCUCAGCUCGGCCCAAGGCACCCUCGGCCCCCGAGGGUGAGGCACUGCGCGUCGAGGAGGAGCGAAGCGGGGUCACGCCUAAUCGAAACUGGCAGACCCCGUACCUGCGAUAUCUCCACCGAGGAGAGCUACCCCUCGACCGAGCCGAAGCUCGGCGGUUGGCGCGACGCGCCAAGUCAUUCGUGUUGUUGGGGGAUGGGAAGGAGCUCUACCACCGCAGCCCCUCAGGCAUCCUCCAGCGAUGCGUCCCCAUCGCCGAAGGUCAGGAGCUCCUACGAGAGAUACACUCGGGGGCUUGCGGGCAUCACGCAGCACCUCGAGCCCUUGUUGGAAACGCCUUCCGACAAGGUUUCUACUGGCCGAUGGCGGUGGCCGACGCCACUAGAAUUGUCCGCACCUGCGAAGGAUGUCAGUUCUACGUGAGGCAGACCCACCUGCCUGCUCAGGCUCUGCAGACGAUACCCAUCACCUGGCCUUUUGCUGUGUGGGGUCUGGACCUCGUCAGCCCCUUGCAGAAGGCACCCGGGGGCUACACGCACCUGUUGGUCGCCAUCGACAAAUUCUCCAAGUGGAUCGAGGUUCGACCCCUAAACAUCAUCAGGUCCGAACAGGCGGUGGCAUUCUUCACCAACAUCAUCCAUCGCUUUGGAGUCCCGAACUCCAUCAUCACCGACAACGGCACCCAGUUCACCGGCAGAAGGUUCCUGAACUUCUGCGAGGAUCACCACAUCCGGGUGGACUGGGCCGCCGUAGCUCACCCCAUGACGAAUGGGCAAGUAGAGCGUGCCAACGACAUGAUUCUACAAGGACUCAAGCCUCGGAUCUACAACGACCUCAACAAGUUCGACAAGCGAUGGAUGAAGGAACUCCCCUCGGUGGUCUGGAGUCUGAGGACAACACCGAGCCGAGCCACGGGCUUCACGCCAUUCUUUCUAGUCUAUGGGGCCGAGGCCAUCUUGCCCACAGACUUAGAAUACGGUUCCCCGAGGAUGAGGGCCUACGCCGACCAAAGCAACCAAGCUAGUCGAGAAGACUCGCUGGACCAGCUGGAAGAGGCUUGGGACAUGGCCUUACUACACUCGGCGCGGUACCAGCAGUCCCUGCGACGCUACCACGCCCGAGGGGUCCAGUCCCGAGACCUCCAGGUGGGCGACCUGGUGCUUCGGCUGCGACAGGACGCCCGAGGGCGGCACAAGCUCACGCCUCCCUGGGAAGGGCCGUUCGUCAUCGCCAAAGUUCUGAAGCCCGAAACGUACAAGCUGGCCAACAGUCAAGGCGAGGUCUACAGCAACGCUUGGAACAUCCAACAGCUACGUCGCUUCUACCCUUAAGAUGCUUUCAAGUUGUUCAUAUACCUCGCUCCCACGCAAAGUUUAGUCAUCAAGGAAGGGUCAGCCUUGCCUCGGCAAAGCCCGACCCUCCCUCGGGGGCUAAAAGGGGGGAACCCCCUCUGCGUCGAACAAGUCUUCACGCUCGAAAGCUCCUCUGCCGAAGCGAUUCUUCGGGCCUUCUCGACUGUGUCGGUGACAGAACCCUAUGGACGGGCAAGAGUGCGCGUAAGCGGCAAGGCCGACCGAGCCGAGGGAUUCCUAUGCCUCCGGGAUACGGAUACCUCACUCAUCACCUUCCGUGAAAAGCAACUCUCGCUCGCACAGACAAUUCUGUUACCGACGAAAAAGUCCAGAUACUCGAAACAAGAGGAAAAGAAGCGCUGCUUUACAACACGGCGAUGGUGUGUUUGGGCCUCGGCGGCCGCAGAAAACACACGCUACAAGAUAAUCCGAUCCUGCGGGCUCGGAUCUCGAUAGUUGAAGGGAGCAGCAGCACCCUCGGCGUCAACUACACCUUCGGCGAGGUCCGACCUAGCCUCGGACGGCGACGCGGUCCGAGGAUCUCCACUCUGAAGGACGACGUCAUCAUCACGCCCGGGCCAUCGCCGCCAGGGUCUCCUCCAAGAAUCCGACUCGAGCAGGCGGCUCGGCUGGUCACCCCGAGGCCUCGGCCAGCUGUCCCCCAAAGACAUCAGCCCGGCCCGAGGCCUCGACAGAUCAACACCGGCGUCGGUCCCGCUAACGGACGACCCGGCCAGGCUCCGGCCGACCAAGUCUUCUUUUCGAGCCAACUCUGCCUCUGUCCGUGCUGACACCGCUACCCCUGGCUUCGGCUCAUCGAAGAGCGGCCGAGGGGUUCCUUUAACUAAGCAAGAGAAGCCUCGGACAGCAAGGCCGACCGAGCCGAGGGACUCCUACGCCUCCGGGAUACAGAUACCUCACUCGUCACCUUUGUACGGGGCGACUCACGCUUGGUGAAGCAGUUCAGACAACCAACAGGCGAGUCUUAGUGCUCGAAAAUGAGGAAAAAACACGGCUCUGCGCCAAAAAUACAUACACGUUCAGGCCCCGACAGCCACAAUGAACAAAAGACCGGCAUUCAAGGUGCCAUUACAAACGGAACUCCGGUUCCACCUCCGCAGGUACGAACAACCCCACACAGUUGGGGGGCCUGCGGAGCAACAGAAGACCGACGAACGGCUCGCCGUCGCCCGCUCCAGCAGCGGCGACGACGACGACUUCUGCUCCGGGGGGCCGAAUAGCAGCAGCGAUGACCUCAGGGCGGAUGCUGCUGCCAUGAGGCCCUCGCCCGUGCCCAAACUCGUGAGGCAAGGAUGGGCAGAAGGCCGUAGAGUUGGAGGUCGGUCCGUGGGCGGCCCCGGCUAUCUCGUCGGCGGAAGAACCUCUUCCAGCUGCCGUGGCGGAAGGCGGCGCCGGGAACGGCUCCGAAGCCACUCGGGUCAGAGAGCCAGGCACGCGGCAGCUGCCAGCGCCGUGAACGACGAACGCCCUUCCCCCAAUCACUGAGGGAAGGAGCGGGCCGCCGCCCGCGCAGGGGCCGACCCCAACUCGGCACACUCCCCUCCCCAGCACUGAUGAUGAAAAUCCUUGAGGCUGAGGGAGGGGCAGAGGUCGCAGCCCGGUUUGCUUUCCCCCGCCACCGAACUGGAGGUCACCGUCUUGGGUGACCGCCGGCGGAGGGGUGCAGCCGGGCUGCAUGAUGAAAAUCCUUGAAGCCGAACGAUGGCUGAAAGGUACCAACUCCCACGGAGUUGCGUUCCUCCAACGACAAGGCGGAAGGACUGCGGGUGUCCCCCAUCCGGGGGCUCGGAAGGUGGAAAGACACGAUGCAUAAGGGAGCGCGAAGACAUGAUCGCCUUUCAAGGGGGUCACCCUCCUUUUAAAGGCGACUCUCCCUACUUGCGUCCCCAGCCGUCGUGGGCUAAGUCUUCUCCAACGCGCUCCAAGGUCCCCCCCUACGACGCGGGGGCUGGGUCCCACGCGUCGUGCAAGCUGGCCCAGAGCAGAAGAAGCCAAACCGCCGCGCGCGGUGCAUGCAACCGCCCAGCGGUUACGAGCAUUCCUCCACUUUCGCCCAGACCAGCGGGCGAAAGGGCGGGCAGCCAUGCAGGCGCUCUCCUCCGACUUCCAACGCACCCAGCAUGGGGGCCCACGCCCACAUGUCACGCAACCGGCGCGCCGGUCACUACUUGCAAGCAACUGCACCGCCACUCGCACCACUGCCAUGCCUCCUCGACUGCGGAACCAGUACCACGACUCGAGGCGACCCUGCGUAUGACCCAGCAGUGCCAGCCAGGCGCAACGGUCAAUACGGCAAAAAAUGGGUCGGCAGUAAUGGCGGUGGCAGGCGGGCGGGAGCAGCGGUCACGUCGUCCGCCAAGCUUACGUCCCAUCCUGGGGCAGUGAGAGAACCCUCUCUCACAGCGUGAAGAUGGCGCGCCCGUGUUCCAUUCCUCGAACGGCUCGCGCACGCGCAACGGCCGCCCCGCGAACCGCUCGCCCCGUCGCAUUAACUCCGCGGCGGGAAAGGCGGCGCCUCUGGCAGGGGAAGCGAGCGAUGCUUCGCGUUCGCCAUAAUGACCGCGUCAAAAGAGGUACACCACAUCAUUCAAUUUCGUAUCCUUUUCCUUUUUCCUCUUUCUCUCUCUUACAACAGGGACCGGGAAAGGGGGAUACCCCGAAAAGGAUCCUUCUUCGUGAAGGAAACAGGCUCCGAGCCUCCCUACUGAUCAGAGGUUCGAAGGCUGGCCCCUCGGAGGGGUUCAACAGCCGCCUCAGAGAGCGUGGGUUCUGCGCCCACUACUGGUCAGAGGUUCGAAGGCCGGCCCCUCGAAAGGGUUCAACGGCCGCCUCAGGCUACUCGGGCUCCGCGCCCACUACUGAUCAGGGGUUCGUAGGCUGGCCCUCGAAGGGUUCACAGCCGCCUCACACACAGAGCGAGGGAUGACCAUGGGUACGUUCGAUACAUAACCAAGGCUCGGGCUACGCUCCCGAGGUACCCUAGGACAUUUCCGAGACCAGCGGGAACGAUCUUGUAACGGAAUCCCAUCAGAGGGAGGCAUCGAGCCCUCGGACCCCGUCGAUAGGGGACCGGGUCCGGCAGAUCACCCGCAGGUACUUUUGAGCGCUCCUCCGGGCCUCUAGCCGACCCCUAACAAAUGGGGCACGGGCGUCCACUCGGAUUACCCGCCAGCAGCUCACCGGAGACACCAUGUUCGACGCCCUCCGAGGGCAACAUGGCGCUUCCCCCCCCUCCUUGCGGAAAGGCGACGCAGGGGCGUAUGUUAAAAAGUCGAGUCUGACUUUGACCGUCCUCUCGCCCUGUGCGGAGGCUCGGGGGCUGCUCUCGCAAACCCGGCUCCGGCCAAACCGUUGACAACGUCAACAUACCAGCCCGAGAACUUGGGACCCGACCGUGCACCCGGGCUACGGCCAGCUCGCAUGAGGGAACGACCAGACCAGCCGAAGCAUUGCGCGAGGCAUUAAGACCUCGCAGGAGUCAAACCACUCCUCCGAGGCCUCGGGGGCUACACCCGGCGGGUGCGCUCGCGCGCACCCAUCGGAACAAAACGCAACCGAGAAAGGCUGGUCCCCUUGCAAAAAAGUGCGACAAAAGCCUCCAAGCGAGUGUUAACACUCCCUUCGAGGCUCGGGGGCUACUGUCGGGGACCAUAAUUAGGGGUACCCUCAAGACUCCUAAUUCUCAGCUGGUAACCCCCAUCAGCACAAAGCUGCAAAGGCCUGAUGGGUGCGAGUAAGUCAGGGAUCGGUCCAUUCGAGGGACUCGAUCACGCCUCGCCUGAGCCUAGCCUCGGGCAAGGGCAGCCGACCCCGGAGGAUCUCCGUCUCGCCCGAGGCCCCCCUCCAGCGAUGAACAUACUUCCGGCUCGCCCAAGGCACAGUCUUCGCCAAGGAGCAACCCUGCCAAAUUGCCACGCUAACCGACCAAAUCGCAGGGGCAUUUAAUGCAAAGGUGGCCUGACACCUUUAUCCUGACGCACGCCCUCCAGUCGACAGAGCCGAAGUGUCCGCAGUCACUUCGCCGCUCCACUGACUGGCCUGACAGAAGGACAGCGCCGCCUACGCCGCUCCGACUGCUGUGCCACUCGACAGAGUGAGGCUGACCGGCAGUCAGGCCCGGCCUCAGGCGCCAUAGGAAACUCCGCUUCGCCCGACCCAGGGCUCGGCCUCGGGCUCAGCCCCGGAAGACGGCGAACUCCGCUCCGCCCGACCCAGGGCUUGGACUGGGGCUCAGCCACGGAAGACGGCGAACUCCGCUCCGCCCGACCUAGGGCUCGGACUCGGGCUCAGCCCCGGAAGACGGCGAACUCCGCUCCGCCUGACCUAGGGCUCGGACUCGGGCUCAGCCCCGGAAGACGGCGAACUCCGCUUCGCCCGACCCCAGGGCUCGGACUCAGCUCUGGCCUCCACCGACGGUCUCCACCUCGCCCAACCCAGGGGCUCGGACUCGACCUCGGCCUCGGAAGAUAGACUCGACCUCGACCUCGGAGGAGCCUCCACAUCGCCCAACCUAAGGCACGAACCGACCACGUCAACAGGAGGCGCCAUCAUUACCCUACCCCAAGCUGACUCGGGCUACGGGGAACAAGACCGGCGUCCCAUCUGGCUCGCUCCGCCAGACAAGUAAUGAUGGCGCCCCGCACGCUCUAUGACGACGGCGGCUCCCAGCCCCCUUACGAAAGCAAGAGGACGUCAGCAAGGACUCGACAGCCCCGACAGUUGUCCUUCCACCAGGCUCCAGCGCUCCUCCGACGGCCACGACACCACACGAACCGGGUGCCAAAACCUCUCCGGCUGCCACGAUGGCAUGUACUUAGGGCGCUAGCUCUCCUCCGCUAGACACGUUAGCACUCUGCUACACCCCCCAUUGUACACCUGGAUCCUCUCCUUACGCCUAUAAAAGGAAGGACCAGGGCCCUCUUACAGAGGGUUGGCCGCGCGGGGAAGAGGACGGGACAGGCGCUCGCGUGAGGCCGCUCGCUCCCUCCCGCGUGGACGCUUGUAACCCCCUACUGCAAGCGCACCCGACCCGGGCGCGGGACAAACACGAAGGCCACGGGAUUCCCACCUCUCUCUCUCUCUCUCUCGCUCCGGCUGCCUUUUUCCCCCCUUCGCGCUCCGUCUCGCGCCGACCCAUCUGGGCUGGGGCACGCGGCGACAUCUUCACUCGUCGGCCCAGGGACCCCCCGGUCUCGAAACGCCGACAAAACGGCUCAGAGCCGCAAGGCAUCCCGUGACUCUCUGUACGCCUUUCAAGUCCUUGAUGGGCCCCAUGCUGGUGAUGGCCGCGAUCUUCUCCGGGUUGGCCUCGAUGCCCCGCUCGGAGACGAUGAACCCCAAGAGCAUGCCUCGGGGAACCCCGAAGACACACUUCUCGGGAUUGAGCUUCACGCCUUUCGCCUUGAGACAUCGGAAUGUCACUUCAAGGUCGGAAAGGAGGUCGGAGGCUUUCCUCGUCUUGACUACGAUGUCAUCGACGUAGGCCUCGACCGUUCGGCCAAUGUGUUCGCCGAACACAUGGUUCAUGCACCGUUGGUACGUUGCACCCGCAUUCCUCAAGCCGAACGGCAUGGUGACAUAGCAGUACAUGCCGAAGGGUGUGAUGAAAGAAGUCGCGAGCUGGUCGAACUCUUUCAUCCUGAUUUGAUGAUACCCUAAGUAGGCAUCGAGGAAAGACAGGGUUUCGCACCCAGCAGUGGAGUCCACAAUUUGGUCGAUGCGAGGCAGAGGGUAGGGAACCUUCGGACAUGUUUUGUUUAGACCAGUGUAGUCUACACACAUCCGCCAUUUCCCUCCUUUCUUUCUCACAAGCACAGGGUUGGCAAGCCAUUCGGGAUGGAAUACCUCUUUGAUGAACCCUGCCGCCAUUAGCUUGCGGAUCUCCUCGCCUAUGGCUCUGUGCUUUUCUUCGUCGAAUCGGCGCAGAGGAUGCUUCACGGGUCGGGCUCUAGCUCGGAUAUCCAGCGAGUGCUCGGCGACAUCGCUCGGUAUGCCGGGCAUGUCCGAGGGACUCCACGCGAAAACGUCGGCGUUUGCGCGGAAAAAGUCGACGAGCACUGCUUUCUAUUUGGGAUCGAGCUCGGAGCCGAUCCGAAUCUGCUUGGAGGCGUCGCUGCUGGGGUCGAGGGGGACGGAUUUAACCGUCUCCGCUGGCUCGAAGUUGUCGGCAUGGCGCUUCACAUCUGGCACCUCCUUCGAGAGGCUCUCCAGGUCGGCGAUGAGGGCCUCGGAUUCGGCGAGGGCCUCGGCGUACUCCACGCACUCCACGUCGCAUUCGAACGCGUGUCGGUACGUGGGGCCGACGGUGAUGACCCCGUUGGGGCCCGACAUCUUGAGCUUGAGGUAGGUGUAGUUGGGGACGACCAUGAACUUCGCGUAGCAUGGCCUCCCCAGCACUGCGUGGUAGGUUCCUCGGAACCCGACCACCUCGAACGUGAGGGUCUCCCUUCGGAAGUUGGAGGGUGUCCCAAAGCAGACGGGAAGAUCGAGUUGUCCGAGGGGCUGGACGCGCUUCCCGGGGAUGAUCCUGUGGAAAGGCGCAGCGCCUGCCCGGACCGAGGACAGAUCAACACGCAGGAGCCCGAGGGUCUCGGCGUAGAUGAUGUUGAGGUUGCUACCUCCGUCCAUGAGGAACUUGGUGAGCCUGACGUCACCGAUGACGGGGUCGACAACGAGCGGGUAUUUCCCCAGGCUCGACACGCGGUCGAGGUGGUCAGCUCGGUCGAAGGUGAUGGGCUUGUCGGACCAGUCUAGGUAGACUGGCGCCGCCACCUUUACCGAAUAGACCUCCCGACGCUCUUGCUUGCGGUGCUGAGCCGAGGCGUUCGCCGCUUGCCCACCGUAGAUCAUGAAGCAGUCGUGGACCUCGGGGAACUCUCCUGCCUGGUGAUCUUCCUUCUUGUCGUCGUCGCGAGCCCUGCCACCCUCCACGGGUGGCCCGGCCCUGUGGAAGUGGCGCCGGAGCAUGGCGCACUCCUCAAGAGUGUGCUUAACGGGCCCCUAAUGAUAGGGGCACGGCUCUUUGAGCAUCUUGUCGAAGAGGUUGGCACCUCCGGGGGGUUUCCGAGGGUUCUUGUACUCGGCGGCGGCGACAAGGUCCGCGUCGGUGGCGUCGCGUUUCGCUUGCGACUUCUUCUUGCCUUUCUUCUUGGCGCCGCGCUGAGUUGACGCCUCGGGGGCAUCUUCCGGUGGGCGGCCCUGGGGCUGCUUGUCCUUCCGGAAGAUAGCCUCAACCGCCUCCUGGCCAGAGGCGAACUUGGUGGCGAUGUCCAUCAGCUCGCUCGCCCUAGUGGGGGUCUUUCGACCCAGCUUGCUCACCAGGUCGCGGCAGGUGGUGCCGGCGAGGAACGCGCCGAUGACAUCUGAAUCGGUGAUGUUGGGCAGCUCGGUGCGCUGCUUCGAGAAUCGUCGGAUGUAGUCCUGGAGAGACUCUCUCGGCUGCUGUCGGCAGCUCCGGAGAUCCCAGGAGUUCCUAGGGCGCACGUACGUGCCCUGGAAAUUGCCGGCGAAGGCUUGGACCAGGUCGUCCCAGUUGGAGAUUUGUCCCGGAGGCAGGUGCUCCAACCAGGCGCGAGUGGUGUCGGAGAGGAACAUGGGGAGGUUGCGGAUGAUGAGGUUGUCAUCGUCCGUUCCACCCAGUUGGCAGGCCAGCCGAUAGUCCGCGAGCCACAGUUCCGGUCUCGUCUCCCCCGAGUACUUUGUGAUAGUAGUCGGGGUUCGGAACCAGGUCGGGAACGGCGCCCGUCGUAUGGCGCGGCUGAAAGCCUACGGACCGGGUGGUUCGGGCGAGGGACUCCGAUCUUCCCCGCUGUCAUAGCGUCCCCCACGCCUGGGGUGGUAGCCUCGGCGCACCCUCUCGUCGAGGUGGGCCCGACGAUUGCGGUGAUGGUGCUCGUUGCCGAGGCGGCCCGGGGCCGCAGGCGCUGUGUUGCGCGUGCGCUCGGUGUGGACCGAGGCUUCCCGCAUGAAUCGGGAAGUCGCGGCGCGAUGUUCCGAGGGGUACCCCUGCCUUCGGGAGGCGGAGCUUUCGGCCCGUCGGACCGCGGCGUCCUCCAGGAGAUUCUUGAGCUCUCCCUGAAUUCGCCGCCCCUCGGUGGUUGAUGGCUCCGACAUCGCGCGGAGAAGCAUUGCCGCUGCAGCCAGGUUCUGGCCGACUCCACUAGAAGUGGGUGGCGGCCUUACCCUAACAUCGUCGGCGAUGCGGUGCUGGAUACCCUGGGGUAGAUGACGCACUUCUCCGGCCGGAGGUUGGCCCGCCCAUUCCUGCCCGACGUCCAGGCGGAUCGGCUCAAGUGUUCCUGCUCCCUUGUCGAGCCUGGCCUGCACCCCGCGGAUUUGCUCGAGAUGUGGGUCAUGACCCCCCGCCGGAACGGGGACCACAACUAGCUCCCGUAGGAUGUCAACGCGAGGCACAGGCCUAGGGAGAUCACCGUUCUCCAGCAUACCAAGAUGGUUGCCUUCGAAGGGACCCCCUAGAUCGACGUGGAAACAUUCAUGACUUGGGCCGCAGUCCUCGUCGCCGAGGCUGCGGCUACCGUCAGAACAGUCGGAAAGACAGUAGUCGCAUGCGGUCAUGAAGUCCCGCAUAGCACUGGGGUUACCAAGUCCGGAGAAAUCCCAACAGAAGUUGGGCUCGCCAUCUUCCUCGGACCCCGAGGGCCCGUAGGUCGAGACGCCCGUCAGCCGGUCCCAGGGUGACCGCAUACGAUACCCCAGAGGGUUUGGACUCGCCCCUACGAGAGCGUCCGCCAAAGCGAAGUCACUUGGCGGGUCGAGGCUGAAUCCAAAAGGCGUGAGAUGGGAAUCGGUGGGUACCUCUUGGUCGACGGGCGGUGACGAAGUCACGUCAGGGACUGACUGCACCGUCGUCCCAGGUACGAGGGUGACGCCCAGCAAGCCUUUCGCGAGCGUGCUGGCGUCGUCCGUUUGCUUGGGAUUGGCGUGUUGCGGGGAGACGACGCUCGUCUUCGUCUCAGACGCGAGGUCGAUGCCCGACGUGCCGCCCGUUGGGGCGCCGGCGCCGUCGACUCGCUCGACAGCCGACGAGGUGCCGCCUCCUGCUUGGCCUUGGUUGCCCCGCCUCCUCCUCCGUCGGCGGGGGAGGGGACGGGGUGAGCUCGAAUGUUGUUCUUCCACCACGCGGGGAAGACGUCGUCAAUUCCACCGCCGGCGGGCGGGCUGUCGGCCGCCAUUGUCGCUGUCGCACGGCGGGGGAAGGAGUAUCAUGUCGUAGCUGCCGUCGAGGGACAUGAACUCAAGACUCCCGAAAUGGAGCACCGUCCCGGGCCGGAAAGGUUGCUGGAGACUGCCCAUCUGGAGCUUGACGGGAAGCUGUUCGUCAACACGCAGCAGGCCCCUACCUGGCGCGCCAACUGUUGGCGUUUCGGAACCCGGGGGUCCCUGGACCGACGAGUAAACUAUCGCCGUGUGCCCUAGCCCAGAUGGGUCGGCGCGAGACGGAGCGCGAAGGGGGGAAGGCAGCCGGAGGGAGACGGGCGUGAGAGGUGGAAAUCCCGCGGCCUUCGUGUUUGUCCCGCGCCCAGGUCGGGUGCACUUGCAGUAGGGGGUUACAAGCGUCCACGCGGGAGGGAGCGAGCGGCCUCACGCGAGCGCCUGUCCCGUCCUUCCCCGUGUGGCCAACCCUCUGUAAGAGGGCCCUGGUCCUUCCUUUUAUAAGCGCAAGGAGAGGAUCCAGGUGUACAAUGGGGGGUGUAGCAGUGUGCUAACGUGUCUAGCGGAGGAGAGCUAGCACCCUAAGUACAUGCCAUCGUGGCAGCCGGAGAGGUUUUGGCACCCGGUUCGUGUGGUGUCGUGGCCGUCGGAGGAGCGCUGGAGCCUGGCGGAAGGACAGCUGUCGGGGCUGUCGAGUCCUUGCUGACGUCCUCUUGCUUCCGUAAGGGGGCUGAGAGCCGCCGUCGUCAUAGAGCGUGUGGGGCGCCAUCAUUACUUGUCUGGCGGAGCGAGCCAGAUGGGACGCCGGUCUUGUUCCGUGUAGCCUGAGUCAGCUUGGGGUAGGGUAAUGAUGGCGCCUCCUGUUGAUGUGGUCGGUCCGUGCCCUGGGUUGGGCGAUGUGGAGGCUCCUCCGAGGUCGAGGUCGAGUCUGUCUUCCGAGGCCGAGGUCGAGUCCGAGCCCCUGGGUCGGGCGAGGCGGAGACCGUCGGCUGAGGCCAGGGCUUGAGUCCGAGCCCUGGGGUCGGGCGAAGCGGAGUUCGUCGUCUUCCGAGGCUGAGCCCGAGUCCGAGCCCUAGGGUCGGGCGAAGCGGAGUUCGUCGUCUUCCGUGGCUGAGCCCGAGUCCGAGCCCUGGGGUCGGGCGAAGCGGAGUUCGUCGUCUUCCGAGGCUGAGCCCGAGUCCGAGCCCUGGGGUCGGGCGAAGCGGAGUUCGUCGUCUUCCGGGGCUGAGCCCGAGUCCGAGCCAUGGGGUCGGGCGAAGCGGAGUUUCCUAUGGCGCUUGAGGCCGGACCUGGCUGCUGUCAGCCUUACUCUGUCGAGUGGCACAGCAGUCGGAGCGGCGCAGGCGGCGCUGUCCUCUUGUCAGACCGGUCAGUGGAGCGGCGAAGUGACUGCGGUCACUUCGGCUCUGUCGACUGGAGGGCGCGCGUCAGGAUAAAGGUGUCAGGCCACCUUUGCAUUAAAUGCCCCUACGAUUUGGUCGGUUGGCGUGGCGAUUUGGCCAAGGUUGCUUCUUGGUGAAGACUGGGCCUUGGGCGAGCCGAAGGUGUGUCCGUUGCUGGAGGGGGGCCUCGGGCGAGACGUAGAUCCUCCGGGGUCGGCUGCCCUUGCCCGAGGCUGGGCUCGAGCGAGGCGUGAUCGCAUCCCUCGAAUGGACCGAUCCUUGACUUAGUUGCACCCAUCAGGCCUUUGCAGCUUUGUGCUGAUGGGGGUUACCAGCUGAGAUUUAGGAGCCUUGAGGGUACCCCUAAUUAUGGUCCCCGACACUAUUGCAAAUGAUUUAUUUGUAUGCCAAAUUUAUGUUGAUGAUAUCAUAUUUGGGUCAUGAUUCAGUAGGAUCAUGAUUCAAAAAUUCGAGAUGUCUAUGAUCGGGGAGUUGAAAUAUUUCUUAGGAUUUCAAGUCAAGCAAAUCCAAGAGGGCACCUUCAUUAGCCAAACAAAGUACAUUCAAGACAUACUCACCAAGUUUGGGAUGAAGGAUGCCAAGCCCAUCAAGACACCCAUGGGAACUAAUGGGCAUCUCAACCUCGACACGGGAGGUAAAUCCGUAGAUCAAAAGGUAUACCGGUCGAUGAUAGGUUCUUUACUCUAUUUAUGUGCAUCUCGACCGGAUAUUAUGCUUUCCGUAUGUGUGCAAGAUUCCAAGCCGAUCCUAGGGAAGUUCACCUUAGGGCCGUAAAACGAAUCUUGAGAUAUUUAGUUUAUACUCCUAAGUUUGGCCUUUGGUACCCCAGGGGAUCCACUUUUGAUUUAAUUGGAUAUUCAGAUGCUGAUUGGACAGGGUGUAAGAUUGAUAGAAAGAGCACAUCAGGGACUUGCCAGUUCUUGGGAAGAUCUCUGGUGUCUUGGGCUUCUAAGAAACAAAAUUUUGUAGCUCUUUCUACCGCUGAAGCCGAGUAUAUUGCCGCAGGCCAUUGUUGCACGCAAUUGCUUUGGAUGAGGCAAACCCUUAGGGACUAUGGUUACAAAUUAACCAAAGUUCCUCUUCUAUGUGAUAAUGAGAGUGCCAUCCGCAUGGCGGAUAAUCCCGUUGAGCACAGCCGCACUAAGCACAUAGCCAUUAGGUAUCACUUUUUGAGGGAUCACCAACAAUGAGGGGAUAUCGAGAUUGCUUAUAUUAACACCAAAGAACAAUUAGCCGAUAUCUUUACCAAGCCAUUAGAUGAGAAAACUUUUACCAAACUUAGGCAUGAGCUAAAUAUUCUUGAUUCUAGGAAUUUUGAUUGAUACCUUGCACACAUAGCUCAUUUCUAUACCUUUGAUGAUCUCUCUUUCAUGUGCUAUGACUAAUGUGUUUUUCAAGUGUAUUUCAUGCUAAGUCAUAGAUUGAAAGGGAAAUGGAGUCCUCGGCGAAGACAAGGCUUCCACGCCACUCCAUCAGAUUAUUCAUCCUUCGUCGUCCCUCCGCACCGCUCUUCAAUUUGGUAUAAUCUUCACCCAUAUAUUAUUUACCAAAGGGGGAGAAUGUUUGAAAAAGGGUUUAUAUUUUACUCACAAGUAUCUAUUUUUGGUGAUUCAUGCCAAAGGGGGAGAAAGUAUUAGCCCAAAGCAAAAGGACCGCACCACCACCAAUUUCAAAAAUGUAGUCUUUCCAAUUUGUAUUAAAAGAAGGUUUUUCAAUUAGUAUCUUAUUCUUGGUAGAAUUUUCAAAUUGGUAUAACCUCUUCAAAAUUAAUAUCUAAAACCCUCUUGAACACUAAGAGGAGAAUUUCAUUGAGGGGGAGUUUUGUUUAGUCAAAGGAAAAGCAUUUGAAACAGGGGGAGAAAAUUUCAAAUCUUGAAAAUGCUUCUCAAAAUCUUAUUCAUUUACCUUUGACUAUUUGCAAAAAGACUUUGAAAAGAAUUUCCAAAAAGAAUUUGCAAAAACAAAACAAGUGGUGCAAGCGUGGUCCAAAAUGUUAAAUAUGAAGAAAGCAUCCAUGCAUAUCUUAUGAAAUGUAUAUUGGUUUAAUUCCAAGUAACCUUUGCACUUACAUUAUGCAAACUAGUUCAAUUCUGCACUUAUAUAUUUGCUUUGGUUUGUGUUGGCAUCAAUCACCAAAAAGGGGGAGAUUGAAAGGGAAAUAGGCUCACACCUUUUCCUAAUUGAUUUUGGUGGUUGAAUUGCCCAACACAAAUAAUUGGACUAACUAGUUUGCUCUAGAUUAUAAGUUCUACAAGUGCCAAAGGUUCAAUACAAACCAAUAAAAAGUCCAAGAAAGGGUUCAAAUAAAAAGAGCAAAAAGACAACCGAAGGCUGCCUUGGUCUGGCGCACCAGACUGUCCGGUGUGCCACCAGACAGUGUCCAGUGCACCAGGGAGAUCAACUCCAAACUUGCCACCUUCGGGAAUUUGGGAAGCCACUCCGCUAUAAUUCACCGGACUAUCCGGUGUAGCACCGGACUGUCCGGUGUGCCAAGCGGAGCAAUGGUCGUCAAUGCAACGGUCGAGUUCAACAGUCGGCUGACAACGCUACAGUGUGCGAACUGCGCGCGCAGAAGUCAGAGCAUGCGCAGAUGGCGCACCGUACAGUGAACAGGACAUGUCCGGUGCACCACCGGACUGUUCGGUGGCCCACAUGUCAGAAGCUCCAACGGUCAAACCCUAACGGUUGGGUGACGUGGCUAGCGCACCGGACAGUGUCCGGUGGCGCACCGGACAGUGUCCGGUGGCGCACCGGACUGUCCGGUGCGCCCUUCGACAGCAGAGUUCCCCAACGGCCAUUUUGGUGGUUGGGGCUAUAAAUACCCCCCAACCACCACUCUUCAAGGCAUCCAAGCAUUCACUACUCCUCAUUCAAUACAAGAGCAAUACACAACACUCCAAGACACAAAUCAAAGCCUCCGAUCAAAUCAAAGUCCACAAUUCAACUCUAGUUUUUAGGACUUGUGAGAAGAUCGACUUGUGUUCUUUUGUUGUUCUUGUUGCUUGGUUCGCUUUCUUUUUUCUCUCAUUCUUACUCUCAAAGCCUUGUAAGCAAAGCAAGAGACACCAAUUGUGUGGUGGUCCUUGUGGGGUCUAAGUGACCCGGGAAAUCAAGGAAGGAAGCUCACUCGGUCUAAGUGACCAUUUCAGAGAGGGAAAGGGUUGAAAGAGACCCGGUCUUUGUGACCACCUCAAAGGGGAGUAGGUUUGCAAGAACCGAACCUUAGUAAAACAAAUCACCGUGUCAUCCGCUCUUAUUCGCUUGUGAUUUGUUUUCACCCUCUCUUUCGGACUCGAUUAUAUUUCUAACGCUAACCCCGACUUGUAGUUGUGCUUAAAGUUUAUAAAUUUCAGAUUUGCCUAUUCACCCCCCUCUAGGCGACUUUCAACAUCGGACUGUUCGGUGCCACCAGAAGACAAAGCUCCAACGGUCGAAACCGUCAGAACCCUAACAGUUGGGUGAUGUGGCUGGCGCACCGGACUGUCCGGUGCGCCCAUCGACAGCAGCCUACUCCAACGGUUGAAUUGGUGGUUGGGGGCUAUAAAUACCCCCAACCACCUCCACUCCAACCAUCCAAGCAUUCACUACUCCUCAUUCAAUACAAGAGCAAAAUACAACACUCCAAGACACAAAUCAAAGCCUCCGAUCCAAUCAAAGUCCACAAUUCAACUCUAGUAUUUUAGGACUUGUGAGAAGAUCGUCUUGUGUUCUUUGUUGCUCUUGUUGCUUGGUUGGCUUUCUUCUUUCUCUCAUUCUUACUCUCAAAGACUUGUAAGCAAAGCAAGAGACACCAAUUGUGUGGUGGUUCUUGUGGGGUCUAAAUGACCCGAGAAAUCAAGGAAGAAAGCUCACUCGGUCUAAGUGACUAUUUGAGAGAGGGAAAGGGUUAAAAGAGACCCGGUCUUUGUGUCCACCUCAAUGGGGACUAGGUUCUUUGGAACCUAACCUCGGUAAAACAAAUCACCGUGUCAUCCUCUUUAUUUUGUUGGUUGAUUUGUUUUCCUCUCUCUCCCGUACUUAACUUUUAUUCUAACGCUAACCCCGGCUUGAAGUGUGCUUAAAGUUUGUAAAUUUCAGCUUCCGCCUAUCCACCCCCUCUAGGCGACUUUCAAUUGGUAUCAGAGCUUGGUACUUUAUUAGUGUCGGUGUUUCGGACCCGGGGGGUCCCUGGACCGACGAGUAAACUUGUCGCUGCGUGCCCCUGCCCAGAUGGGUUGGCGCAAGAUGGAACACAAGGGGAAAGCGCGGCUUGUGUUAUCUCGCACCAGGGGGUGUGCUCGUAGUAGGGGUUACAAGCGUUCGCGAGAGAGAGAGUGAGCCUGUUCAUUAGCUCAUUCCCCCCGCGCGACCCUCCCGCAUGAAGGCCCUGGACCUCCCUUUUAUAGAUGCAAGGAGAGGGUCUAGGUGUACAAUGGGGGUGUAGCUAUGCGCUAACGUGUUUGGCCGAGAGGUGCCUGAGCCCUGUGUACAUGCCAAUGUGGCUGUUGGAGAGGUGCUAGAGCCCUGUGUACACGGUAACGUGGCUGUCGGAGAAGUGCCUGAGCCCUAUAGAAGCGCAGCUGUCGGUGCUGCUGGGAUCCUACUGACGUCUCCUUGCUUCCGUACAGGGCUGAGAACCACCAUCGUCAUGGACGCACGCGGGGAGCCAUCAUUACUUGUUACCGGGGCGAGCUAGAUGGGACGCCGGUCUUGUUCCCUUGUAGCCUGAGCUAGCUAGGGGUAGGGUAAUGAUGUAUCCCCCCAUGGCGCGGUUGGUUCGAGCCCAAGGUCAGGCGAUGCAGAGACUUCUCCUGAGGCCGAGACCGGGGUCGGGUGAGGACGCGAUUCCGCCCGAGGCCAAGGUCGAGGCCGAGCCCUGGGGUCGGGCGAGGCGGAGACCUCCUUCCGAAGCUGAGGUUGAGGCUGAGCCCUGGGGUCGGGCGAGGCGGAGACCUCCUUCCGAGGCCGAGGCCUAAGGUCGGGCGAGGCGGAGCUUCCUGUUGCGCCCGAGGCUGAACUUGGCUGUUGUCAGCCUCGCCCUGGUGGGUGGCACAGCAGUCGGAGCGGGGCGAGCGGCGCUGUUUUCCUGUCAGGUCGGUCAGUGAAAGGGCGAAGUGACUACGGUCACUUCGACCUUUCCGACUGAGGCACGCGUGCCAGGAUAAGGUGUCAGGCGAUCCCCGCAUUGAAUGCGCCUGCGAUACGGUCGGUUGGUGAGGCGAUUUGGCCAAGGUUGCUUCACAACGAAGCCUGUCCGAGCUGGGCUUCGGGCGAGUCGAGGGCACGCCCGUCGCCUGAGGAGGCCCUUGGGCGAGGCAUGAAUUCGUCCGGGACUACUGUUCCCGCCCGAGGCCGGGCUCGGGCGAGGCAAGAUUGCGUCCCUUGGUAGACGAGGCCUUGACUUGAAUCGCGCCCAUCAGUCUUUGCGGUUUGUGCUAAUGGUGGUUACCAGACGUGUUUAGGAGUGUUGGGGGUACCCCUAAUUACGGUACCCAAUAGUAGCCCCCGAGCCUCAAAGGGAGUGUUGGUACUCGCUUGGAGGCUUUACCGCACUUCUUUGCGAGGGGACCGGCCUUUCUCGGUUAUACUUUGUUCCGGUGGGUGCGCGCGAGCGCACCCGACGGGAUUAGCUCCCGAGGCCUCGGAGGAGUGGUUUGAUUCCUCUGAGGUCUUAAUGCUUUUCGUGAUGCCUUGGCCAGCCUGGUUGUUCCCUCAUGCGUCCUGGCCAUAGCCCGGGUGCAUGGUCGGGUUCUGAGUUUCUGAGCUGGUUUGUUGACGCUGUGAACAGUUUGGCCGUAGCCGGGUUGCGAGAGCAGCCCCCGAGCCUCUGCACGGAGCGAGAGGACGAUCAAAGACUGUCUCGACUUUUAUCAUACGCCCAUUCAUCGCCUUUCCGCAAGGAGGAAGAGGGGAAGCGCCAUGUUGCCCUCGGAGGGCGCCGAACAUGGUGUUUCCAGUGAGUUGCUAACGGGUGAUCCGAGUGGACGCCCGUGCCCCGUUCGAUAAGGGUCGGCUAGUGGCCCAGAGGCGCGCUCCAAAAGUACCUGCAGGUGAUUUGCCAGACCCGGACCCAUUCGAUAGGGUCCAAGGGCUCGAUGCCUCCCUCUGAUGGGAUUCCAUUACAAAAUCGCUCCUGCUGGUCUCGGAAAUGUCCUAGGGUACCUUGGGAGCGUAGCCCGAGCCUCGGCCAUGUAACAGACGUACCUAGAGUCAUCCCUCACUCUGCGUGUUCUGGAGCGGCUGUCGAACCCUUCCGAGGGGCCAGCCUUCGAACCCCUGAUCAGUAGUGGGCGUGGAGCCCGAGUGCUCUGGGGCAGUUGUCGAACCCUUCCAAGGGGCCAGCCUUUGAACCCCUGAUCAGUAAUGGGCUUGGAGCCCGAGUGCUCUGGGGCGGCUGUCGAACCCUUCCGAGAGGCCAGCCUUCGAACCCCUGAUCAGUAGGAGGGCUCGGGGCCCACUUCCUUCGCGGAGAAGGAUCCCUUUCGAAAUAUCCCCUUUCCCGGUCCUUGUAGCAAGAGAGAGAAAGGGGAAGAGGAAAAGGAUAUGAAUUUAAAUGGUGUGGCGCACCUUUUUUGACGCGAUCAUUAUGGCGGAGGUGAAACGACGCCUGCUUCGCCUGCCAAAGGUGUCGCUUGCCCUGCCGAGGAGUUAAUGCGAUGGGACGGGCGAUUCGCGGGCGGCCGCGUGCGCGAUUCGUUCGAGGAACGGAACACGGGUGUGUCGUCUUCACGCCGUGGGAGAGGGCUCCCCUGCCGCUUCAGGAGGGGACGCGAGCCUGCAAGCGAUUCGACCGCUGCUUCCGCCCAUCUGCUGCAAUUACUGCCGGUCCACUUUUGGCCAUAUUAACUGUCGCGCCUCCUCCCACGGCUGACUGACCUGUGCUCGAUUGGCACUGUUGGGUCGUGCGCAGGGCUGCCUCGAGUCGCGGCACCGGUUCCGCAGUCGAGAAGGCGCGGCAUUGGCGCAAGUGGCGGUGCGGUUUCUUGCAUGUAGUAACCGACGCGCCGGUUACAUGACGUGUGGGCCUGGGCCUCCAUGCCGGAUGUGACGAAGCCGAAGGGGUGCGCCACCGCGGUGCGGUUGCACGCCACCUGCAUGGCGGUCCGCCUUUCCGACCGCUGGUUUCGGCGAGGAUGGAGAAGUGCUCGUAACCACGGGGCGGUUACAUGCUCCGCGUGCGGCGGUUUGGCUUCUUCCAUUUUGGGUCAGCUUGCAUGACGUGUGGGACCCAGCCCCCGUGUCGUAGGGGGAGGACCCUAGAGCACGUCGGUGAAGUCUUUGCCCAUGACGCUUGAGAAUGCGAGUAGGGAGAGCCGCCUUUAAAAAGGGAUCGAUCCCCACGACGGUAGCCAUGCCUUCGCACUCCCCUCAUGCAUCACGCCCUUCCACCUUCCGAGCCCCCGGAUGGGGAGCACCCGCGUUGCUUUCGUCUUGCUGCUGUUGGAGGAGCGCGACCUCGCGGGGGUUGGCGCCCUUCAGCCAUCGCUCGACUUCAAGGAUUUUCAUCAUGCAGCCCGGCUGCAUUCCCUCACCAAUGGUCAUCCAGGAUGAUGACCACCAGUUUGGUAGUGGGGAGAAGCAAGCCAGGCUGCGGCCUCUGCCCCGCCCUCAGCUUCAAGGAUCUUCAUCAUCCGUGCUGGGGAGGAGGGCGGGGCGAGUCGGGGCCUACCUCCGCGUGGGCCGACGACCCGCUUCUUCCUCCGGCAUUCGGGGGAGGCGUCCUCCAGCCAUGCGGGGGAAGGCGAACUACCGCUGCUGGGCCAGGAUGCGGCUGUCCGUCCUCCACCCGGGUGGCGGCCGUGCCGCGCGUGGGCCGGCCACGUCCAGGUUUCCCCGCGCCGUCGGCUGCACCGGGGGGUCGCACAACACGCCGCACACCGCGAGGGCGGCACUCGUGUUAUGGGAUGGCCCCAUUCUCGUUCUUGUGGCGAGAAUGGGAGUGAGGACCUGCCAGUGCGCUUUGGGGCGACCGCCGCUUGCUGGUGCGGUGUUGGUGGGCAAGUGGCUGCCGUCGUCGGUGCUGAGGUGGUGGCAGCCAGAGAAGGUUUCUCCGCCGACGAGACCGUCGGCGCCACCUGCGGUCGGACCCCGGCUCUUUGGCUUUGAUGGCUUGUCCUCGCCCCUCGUGUGGGGGCGUGGGCGAGGGCCUUUCCACAGCAGCGUUUGCCCUGAGGUCAUCGCUGCUGCUGUUUAGCCGCCCGAAGCGGAGGUCAUUGUCGCUGCUGGUGCAGUGGUCGCCGGCGAGCCACCUAGAGUUUGUUGUCCCGCAGGCCCUCUGGUGUGGAGGUUGUUCAUACCCGCGGGAGUGGAACCGGAGUCCCAUUUGUAAUGGUACCCUGAGUAUGGGUGUUUGUUCAUUGUGGCUGUCGAGGCCUGAACAUCUGGGUAUUUGAGCGUAAUACCGUGUUUCUCCCUUAUUUCGAGUACUAGGACUCACCUGUCGGCUAGCUGAACUGCUUAACCGAGCGUGAGUUGCCUUGCGCGGAAGGUGACGAGUGAGGUAUCUGUAUCCCGGAGGUGUAGGAGUCUCUCGGCUCGGUCGGCCUUGCCGUUUAAGGCCUCUCGUGCUCAGUUUCAGAACCUUCGUCCGCUCUGCGAUCAGCUGGAGCCGAAGGCAGCGGUGUCGGCGUGGACAGAGGCGGAGUCGGCUCGAAAAGAGGCUUCGUCGGCCUAGUAGCAGGUGGCUUCCUAGGCCGAGGAGGUGCAGCAGCGGCGGCUGGAGCUUGGCCAGGGCAUCCGCGAGCGGGACCAACCUCGGAGUCAUGCUGCCGAGGCUGUGAGCCGGGCCGAGGUCCCCGGGGGAUAGCUGGCUGAGGCUACGGAGCGGCCAACCAAGGUGUCUGCUCGGGCUGGGGCCCUGGCGGAGACCCGCGCUGUGAGGGCCCAAGCACGGUGCUGGCGUUCUCCUUCGAGGUGGAGAUCCUUCCGCCCGUGUCGCCAUCCGAGGCCGGGCCAGAUUCCACCGAAGGUGGAAACGACACCGAGGGUGCUGCUGCUCCCUCUGCCGAUGUCUGAACCUGCAGGAACAGUUUGUCUGUAGUAUGCGUAUGUUUUUUGCGGCCGCCGAGGCCUAAACAUCUCAUUGUCGUAUUAUAAAGUUGCGCUUACUUUCCUCUUGUUUCGAGUAUCAGGACUUGUUCGUCGGUAGCAUAAUCGCUUAUCCGAGCGAGAGUUACUUUUUGCGGAAGGUGAUGAGUGAGGUAUCCAUAUCCUGGAGGCGUAGGAGUCCCUCGGCUCGGUCGGCCUUACCGCUUACGUGCACUCUUACUCGUUUGCAGGAUUCCGUUAUCGAUAUAGUCGUGAAGGCACGAAAGUCGUUCUGGCAGAAAAGAUUUCGAGCGUUAGGACUCAUUCGGUAGCAGAAUCGCUUAUCCAAGCGUGAGUUACUUAUCGCGGAAGGUGAUGAGUGAGGUAUCCGUAUCCCGGAGGCGUAGGAGUCCCUCAGCUCGGUCGGCCUUGCCGCUUACGUGUACUCUCGUCGUUUUCAGGAUCCCGCUAUCGAAACAGUCGAAAAGCGCGAAAGACGUUCUGGCAAAAGACUUUUCCGAGGAAAAUUUUGACGCAGAGGGGGUUCCCCCCUUCUAGCCCCCGAGGGAGGGUCAGGCUUUGCCGAGGCAAGGCUGACCCUUCCUUAACGGUUAGACUUUCUUUGUGUAUGUAAAGAGAACGAGGUAUAUGAACGAUUUGAAACAUCUUACAGGUAGAAGCGACGUAGCUGUUGGAUGUUCCAAGCGUUGUUGUAUACCUCACCUUGAUCGUUGGCUAGCUUGUAUGUUCCGGGCUUCAAAAUCUUGGCGAUGAUGAACGUCCCUUCCCCAGGGAGAAGUAAGCUUGUGGCGCCCUCGGGCGUCCUGCCGCAGCCGAAGUACCAAGUCUCCCACCUGGAAGCCUCGGGGUCGAACCCCUUGGGCGUGGUAGCGUCGCAGAGACUGCUGAUAUCGCGCCGAGUGUAGUAAGGCCAUGUCCCGAGCCUCUUCGAGCUGGUCCAGUGAGUCUUCUCGGCUGGUCUGGUUGCUUCGGUCGUCGUACGCCUUUGUCCUCGGGGAACCGUAUUCUAAGUCUGUGGGUAAGAUAGCCUCGGCCCCAUAGACUAGAAAGAACGGCGAGAAACCCGUGGCUCGGCUUGGCGUUGUCCUCAGACUCCAGACCACCGAGGGUAGCUCCUUCAUCCACCGCUUGCCAAACUUGUUGAGGUCAUUGUAGAUCCUCGGUUUAAGUCCCUGCAAAAUCAUACCGUUGGCACGCUCCACCUUCCCAUUUGUCAUGGGGUGAGCUACGGCGGCCCAGUCCACACGGAUGUCGUGGUCCUCGCAGAAGUCCAGGAACUUCUUCCCAGUGAACUGCGUGCCAUUGUCGGUGAUGAUGGAGUUUGGGACCCCAAAGCGAUGGAUGAUGUUUGUGAAGAACGCCACCGCCUGCACGGACCUGAUGCUGGUUAGGGGUUGGACCUCGAUCCACUUGGAGAAUUUGUCGAUGGCGACCAGCAGGUGCGAGAAGCCCCCGGGUGCCUUCUGCAAGGGACCAACGAGGUCCAGACCCCACACUACAAACGACCAGGUGAUGGGUAUUGUCUGCAGGGCCUGAGCGGGCAGGCACAUCUGUCUUGCGUAGAAUUGACACCCUUGACAGGAGCGUACAAUCCUAGUGGCGUCGGCCACCACGGUCGGCCAGUAGAAACCUUGUCGGAAGGCGUUCCCCACGAGGGCUCGAGGUGCUGCAUGGUGACCGCAAGCCCCCGAGUGUAUUUCUUGCAAUAGCUCCUGUCCUUCAGCGACGGAUAUGCAUCGUUGGAGAAUGCCUGAGGGGCUGCAGUGGUAGAGCUCCUUUUCAUCACCCAGUAAGACGAACGACUUGGCGUGCCGCACCAGUCGCCGAGCUUCUGCCUUAUCGAGGGGUAGCUCUCCUCGGAGGAGAUAUUCCAGGUACGGGGCCUGCCAGUUCGGGCUAGGCGUGACCCCAUUCCGCUCUCCCUCGAUGCGCAGUGCCUCACCCUCGGCGGCCGAGGAUACCUCGAGCUGGGCCGAGGCCUCCUCGGGCUGGGUCGAGGCCUCCACGGGCUCGGGCGUGUCAUCGAUCUUGACAGAGGGUUGAUGUAUGUCUCUGGAGAAGACGUCCGAGGGAACCGUUGUCUGCCCCGAGGCUAUUUUAGCCAGCUCAUCCGCAGUCUCGUUGUACCGUCGAGCGAUAUGGUUGAGCUCGAGCCCGUAGAACUUGUCUUCCAGGCUUCGAACUUUGUCGCAGUAGGCCUCCAUCUUCUGGUCGCGGCAGUGGGAGUUCUUCAUGACUUGGUCAAUGACAAGCUGCAAGUCGCCACGAGCGUCGAGGCGCCAAACCCCUAGCUCGAUGGCGAUGCACAACCCAUUAACCAGAGCCUCGUACUCGGCCAUGUUGUUUGACGCCGGGAAAUGGAGGCGCAACACGUAGCGAAGAUGUUUCCCGAGGGGUGAGAUGAAGAGCAGGCCAGCACCUGCUCCUGUUUUCAUCAGCGACCCAUCGAAGUACAUGGUCCAAAGCUCCGGUUGGAUCAGAGCUGCGCAGAGAAAGUCGACGAGCAUUGUUUCCUAUUUGGGGUCGAGCUCGGAGCCGAUCCGAACCUUCUUGUCGGCGUCGUUGUUGGGGUCAAGAGGGACGGACUUAACCGCCUCAGCUGGUUCGAAGUUGCCGGCGUGGCGCUUCGCAUCAGGCACCUCCUUGGAGAGGCACUCUAGGUCGGCGAUGAGGGCCUCGGACUCGGCGAGGGCCUCAGCGUACUCCACGCAUUCCACGUUGCAUUCAUACGCGUGGUGGUAUGUGGAUCCGACGGUGAUGACCCCGUUGGGGCCUGGCAUCUUGAGCUUGAGGUACGUGUAGUUGGGGACGGCCAUGAAUUUGGCGUAGCACGGUCUCCCCAGCACUGCGUGGUAGGUUCCUCGGAACCCGACCACCUCGAACGUGAGGGUUUCCUUUCGGAAGUUGGAGGGAGUUCCAAAGCAGACGGGCAGAUCGAGUUGUCCAAGGGGCAGGAUGCGCUUCCCAGGGAUGAUCCCGUGAAAGGGCGCCGCACCAGCCCGGAUCGUGGACAAAUCGAUCCCCAAGAGCCCGAGGGUCUCGGCGUAGACGAUGUUGAGGCUGCUGCCCCCAUCCAUGAGGACCUUGGUGAGCCUGGUGUUGCCGAUGACGGGGUCGACAACAAGCGGGUACCUUCCUGGGCUCAGCACGCAGUCGGGGUGGUCGCCUUGGUCGAAGGUGAUGGGCUUGUCGGACCAGUCUAGGUAGACUGGUGCCGCCACCUUUACCGAGCAGACCUCCCGGCGCUCCCGCUUGCGGUGCCGAGCUGAGGCGUUCACCACUUGCCCACCGUAGAUCAUGAAGCAGCCGUGGACCUCGGGGAACUCCUCUUCCUUGUCGCCCCCCUUCUUGUUGUUGUAGUGGCCCUUGCCAUCUCCCGCCUGGGUCCUGGAUUUAUGGAAGUAGCGCUGAAGCAUGACGCAUUCCUCAAGGGUGUGCUUGAUGGGACCCUAGUGAUAGGGGCAUGACUCCUUGAGCAUCUUGUCGAACAGGUUGGCCCCUUCGGGAGGCUUCCGAGGGUUCCUGUGCUCGGCAGCAGCGGCAAGAUCUGCGUCGGCGGCGUCGCGCUUCGCUUGCGACUUCUUCUUGGCCUUCUUCUUUGUGCCACGCUGGGCGGACGCCUCGGGGACGUCUUCCUGCUGGCGUCCCUGAGGCUGCUUGUCCUUCCGGAAGAUGGUUUCGACCGCCUCCUGACCAGAGGCAAACUUGGUGGCGAUGUCCAUCAACUCGCUCGCCUUGGUGGGAGUCUUGCGGCCUAGUUUGCUCACCAGGUCGCGGCAAGUGGUGCCGGUGAGGAACGCCCCAAUGACAUCCGAGUCGGUGAUGUUGGGCAGCUCGAUGCGCUGCUUCGAAAACCGCCGGAUGUACUCCCGUAGGGAUUCCCCUGGCUGCUGGAGGCAGCUUCGGAGAUCCCAUGAGUUCCUAGGGCGCACGUACGUGCCCUGGAAGUUCCUAGCGAAGGCCUUGACCAGGUCGUCCCAGUUGGAGAUCUGCGCAGGAGGCAGAUGCUCCAGCCAGGCCCGGGCGGCGUCAGAGAGGAACAGGGGGAGGUUGCGGAUGAUGAGGUUGUCGUCGUCUGUUCCUCCUAGCUGGCAGGCCAGCAGGUAGUCCGCAAGCCACAACUCCGGCCUUGUUUCCCCCGAGUACUUGGUGAUGGUAGUCGGGGCCCAGAACCGAGCUGGGAACGACGCCCGUCGUAUGGCCCGGCUGAAGACUUGCAGACCUGGUGGUUCGGGCGAGGGGCUCCGAUCCUCCUCACUGUCGUAGCGUCCCCCACGCCUAGGGUGGUAGCCUCGGCGCACCUUCUCGUCGAGGCGGGCUCGACAGUCAUGACGGUGAUGCUCGUUGCCGAGGCGAUCCGGGGCUGUAGGCGUCACAUCCCGCGUGCACCCGGUGUGGACCGUGGCCUCCCGCAUGAGUCGGGAAGUCGUUGCGCGAUGAUCCGGGGGGCACCCUUGCCUUCGGGAGGCAGAGCUUUCGGCCCGUCGGACCGCGGCAUCCUCCAGGAGAUUCUUGAGUUCUCCCUGGAUACGCCACCCCUCGGUGGUGGAUGGCUCCGGCAUUGCCCGGAGUAGUAUUGUCGCUGCAGCCAGAUUCUGGCCGACCCCGCUGGAGGCCGGGGGCAGCCUUGCCCUGGCAUUAUCAAUGAUACGGCGUUGGAUGUCCCGGGCCUGAUGACGCGCUUUUCCGGCGAGUGCUCGGCCUGCCCACUCCUGCUCGAUGUUUUGCCGGAGCUGCACAAGUUGCCCUGUUUCCUCGUCGAGCUUGGCAUGCAUCUCACGGAUUUGCUCGAGUUGUGUGUCCUGACCCCCCGCAGGGACUCGGACCACAGCUAGCUCCCGCGGGAUGUCAACGCGAGAAGCAGGCCCAGGGGGAUCGUCAUCCUCCGGCAUACCAAGGUGGUUGCCUUCGUCGCGACCCCCCAGAUCGACGUGGAAACAUUCGCGACUUGGGUCACAGCCUUCGUCGUCAAGGCUGUGACCAUCAUCAGAGCAACCGGAGAGGCAGUAGUCACACGCGGUCAUGAAGUCUCGCACGGCAAUGGGAUCACGGAGCCCGGAGAAAUCCCACCGGAGUCGGGGUCGUCUUCUUCCUCAGAACCCGGGGGCCCGUAGGUCGAGACGGCCAUCAGUCGGUCCUAAGAUGACCACAUAUGGUACCCCGGAAGGUUAGGAUAUGCCUUUAUGAAAGCGCUCACCAAAGCGGGGUCGCUUGGUGGAUCGAAGCUGAAUCUAAAAGGCACAGGAUGGAAAAAAGACGGUACCUCUUGGUCGAUGGAUGGUGGGGAAGUCGCAUCGGGGACGGACUGCACCGUUAUCUCAGGUACGAGGCUAACGCCCAGCAAGUCCUUCGCGAGUGUGCUGGCGUCAUCUAUCCACUUGGGGUUGGCACGUUGCGGGGAAACGACAUUCGUCGUUGUCUCAGGUACGAGGACAGCGCCCGACAUGUCCCCCGCUAGGGUGCCAGCGUCAUCGACUCGCUCCGGACCGACAACCAAUGAGGCACCGCCUCCUGCCUAGCCACGGUUGCCCCGUCUCCUCCUCCUACGGUGAGGAGGGUGGCGGGACAAACCCGGAUGCUGCUCUUCCGCCAUGGGGGGAAGACGUCGUUGAGUUCGCCACCGUCGGGCGAGCUGACGACCGUCGUUAUUGCUGUCGCGCUGCGGGGGGAGGAGUACCAUGUCGUAGCUACCGUCGAGGGACAUGAACUCGAGACUCCCGAAGCGGAGCACCGUCCCAGGCUGAAGAGGUUGCUGGAGACUACCCAUCUAGAACUCAACGGGAAGUUGUUCGUUAACACGCAGCAGGCCCCUACCUGGCGCGCCAACUGUCGGCGUUUCGGACCCGGGGGGGUCCCUGGACCGACGAGUAAACUUGUUGCUGCGUGCCCCUGCCCAGAUGGGUUGGCGCAAGAUGGAACACAAGGGGAAAGCGCGGCUCGUGUUAUCUCGCACCAGGGGGUGUGCUCGUAGUAGGGGUUACAAGCGUUCGCAAGAGAGAGAGAGAGAGAGUGAGCCUGUUCGUUAGCUCAUUCCUUCCGUGCGACCCUCCCGCAUGAAGGCCCUGGACCUCCCUUUUAUAGAUGCAAGGAGAGGGUCCAGGUGUACAAUGAGGGGUGUAGCUAUGCGCUAACGUGUCUGGCAGAGAGGUGCCUGAGCCCUGUGUACAUGCCAACGUGGCUGUUGGAGAGGUGCUAGAGCCCUGUGUACGCGGUAACGUGGCCGUCGGAGAAGUGCCUGAGCCCUGUAGAAGCGCAGCUGUUGGUGCUGCUGGGAUCCUGCUGACGUCUCCUUGCUUCUGUAGGGGGCUGAGAAUCACCGUCGUCAUGGACGCACGCGGGGAGCCAUCAUUACUUGUUACCGGGGCGAGUCAGAUGGGACGCCGGUCUUGUUCCCUCGUAGCCUGAGCUAGCUAGGGGUAGGGUAAUGAUGUAUCCCCCGUGGCGCGGUCGGUCCGAGCCCAAGGUCGGGCAAGGUGGAGACUUCUCCUGAGGCCGAGGCCGGGGUUGGGCGAGGACGCGAUUCCGCCCGAGGCCGAGGUCGAGGCCGAGCCCUAGGGUCGGGCGAGGCGGAGACCUCCUUCCGAAGCCAAGGUUGAGGCUGAGCCCUGGGGUCGGGCGAGGCGGAGACCUCCUUUCGAGGCUGAGGCCUAAGGUCGGGCGAGGCGGAGCUUCCUGUUGCGCCCGAGGUUGAACUUGGCUGUUGUCAGCCUCGCCCUGGUGGGUGGCACAGCAGUCGGAGCGGGGCGAGCGGCGCUGUUUUCCUAUCAGGUCGGUCAGUGAAAGGGCGAAGUGACUGCGGUCACUUUGACCUUGCCGACUGAGGCACGCGUGUCAGGAUAAGGUGUCAGGCGAUCCCCGCAUUGAAUGCGCCUGCGAUACGGUCGGUUGGUGAGGCGAUUUGGCCAAGGUUGCUUCACAACGAAGCCUGCCUGAGCUGGGCUUCGGGUGAGUCGAGGGCGCGCCCGUCGCCUGAGGAGGCCCUCGGGCGAGGCGUGAAUUCGUCCGGGACUACUGUUCCCGCCCGAGGCCGGGCUCGGGCGAGGCGAGAUUGCGUCCCUUGGUAGACGAGGCCUUGACUUGAAUCGCGCCCAUCAGUCUUUGCGGUUUGUGCUGAUGGUGGUUACCAGCCAUGUUUAGGAGUGUUGGGGGUACCCCUAAUUACGGUACCCGACAAUUAGAGUCUAACCACUCGAAGUGAUGUCGGGAGGAUCCACCAAGAGGGAGAUGAAAAUGGGCACGAGCCACGAGAAGUCUCCAUCAAGGGAGUCCAGCGCCAAAGGAAGGGAGGAAUCACCUCCCCACGUCAAGUCACACCGGAGUGGCGACAAGAAUAAGAAAAUGAAGAAAGUGGUCUACUACUAGACCGAUUCUUUGCCGCCCUCCACAUCCAGCUCCGACACGAUGUCUGUCACUUCUAAGCGCCAUGAGCACAAGAAGUUUAGUAAGAUCCCCCUACGCUAUCCCCGCAUUUCCAAACGCACUCCUUUACUUUCCGCCCCAUUAGGCAAACCACCGGUUUUUUUAUGGUGAAGAUUAUUGUAUGUGGAGUGAUAAAAUGAGGCAUCACCUAACCUCACUCCACACAAGCAUAUGGGAUAUUGUUGAGUUUGGAGCGCAGGUACCAUCCGUGGGGGAUGAAGGAUAUGAUUCGGACGAGGUCGCCCAAAUCCGGCACUUCAACUCCCAAGCCACUACUAUACUCCUCGCCUCUCUAUGUCGAGAGGAGUAUAAUAAAGUGCAAGGGUUGAAGAGUGCCAAGGAGAUUUGGGACGUGCUCAAGCCACACACGAGGGAGAUGAGGUGACCAAGAUCACCAAGCGGGAGACGAUCGAGGGGGAGCUCGGUCGAUUCAUCCUCAACCAAGUAGAGGAGCCACAAGCUAUGUACAACCGGCUCAAGACCUUGGUGAAUCAAGUGCGCAACCUCGGGAGCACAAAAUGGGACGACCAUGAAAUGGUCAAGGUUAUUCUUAGAUCACUCAUAUUUCGUAAUCCUACUCAAGUUCAAUUAAUACGUGGUGAUCCUAGAUAUAAGCUAAUGUCUCCCGAGGAAGUGAUAAGAAAGUUUGUGAGCUUUGAGUUAAUGAUCAAAGGCUCCAAACAAAUCGUCGAGCAAGGCGGCACCUCCACACCCGAGGUGCAACCCGUCGCAUUCAAGGCAACGAAGGAAGAAAAGAAGGAAUCUAUGCCAAGUAGAAUUCCCAUUGACGCCUCCAAGCUCGACAACGAGGAGAUGGCGCUCAUCAUCAAGAGCUUUUGCCAAAUCCUCAAGAAAAGGAGGGGGAAGGACUACAAACCCCGCUCCAAAAGGGUGUGCUACAAGUGUGGUAAGCCCGGUCAUUUUAUCGCUAAAUACCCUAUGUCUAGUGAUAGUGACAGGAACAACGAUAAGAAGGGAAAGAGGAAGGAGAAGAAGUACUACAAGAAGAAGGGCGUCGAUGCCCACAUAUGUCGGGAAUGGGACUCCGACGAGAGCUCCACCGACUCCUCCUCGGACGAGGAUGCCACAAACAUCGCCGUCAACAAGGGACUUCUCUUCCCCAACGUCGACCACAAAUGCUUCAUGGCAAAGGACGAUAAGAAAAAGAAGGUACAAGCUAGAACCAACCCCAAAUAUACUACAUCUAGUGAUGAGGGUAGUUCUAGUGAUGAUGAAGAUAACUUGCUUAGUCUUUUUGCCAACCUUAACAUGCAACAAAAAGAAAAAUUAAAUGAAUUGAUAGGAGCUAUUCAUGAGAAGGAUAAACUUUUGGAUAGCCAAGAGGAAUUCCUUAUUAAGGAAAAUAAAAAAGCAUGUUAAGGUAAAGAAUGCUUAUGCUCAGGAGAUAAAAAAAUGUGAAAACUUGACUAGAGAGCUUAGCAGUUGCCAUAACACCAUUUCCAACCUUAGAACUAAGAAUGAUAGUUUAACUGCUAAGGCUGAAAAAUCAAAUGUUUGUCAUGAUUCAAUUGUCAAUCUUAAAAAUGAAAAUGCUAGUUUAAUUGCUAAGAUUGAUAAAUUGAAUGAAUCAAUUUCUAGCCUUAGGGAUGAAAAUGCUAGAUUAAUUUUUAAGGCUAAAGAUUUAAAUGUUUGCAAUGAUGCUAUUUCCAAUCUUAGAAAUGAGAAUGCUAUUUUAUAUGCUAAGAUUGAAGAAUUAAAUGCUUGUAAACCAUCUACACCUACUGUUGAUCAUGUCUCUAGUUGUACUAGAUGUAGAGAUGUAAAUAUUGAUGCUAUCCAUGAUCACCUUGCUUUAAUUAAACAACAAAAUGAUCACAUAGCUCAACUAAGUACUAAAAUUAAUGAGCAUGAAAUUGAAUAUGAAAAAUUUAAAUUUGCUAGAAGCAUGCUCUAUAGUGGGAGACGCCCUGGCAUCAAGGAUGGCAUUGGUUUCCAACAGGGAAGCAAUGUCAAAUUUAAUGCCCCAAAAGAUUGCCUAAUUUUGUUAAGGGCAAUGCUCCCAUGGCUUAGGAUAACGAGGGUUACAUUUUAUAUCAUGCUGGUUAUCCUAAGCACAAGAUUAGGAGAAUUCAUGCUAGGAAGUCUCAUUCUGAUUCACAUCAUGCUUUUAUGUACAAGAAUGAGGCAUCUAGCUCUAGGCAUUCUACCCAUGUUAAAAUGCAUAAAAAGAAAACUCCUACCGCAUCAAAUGAAUCUAAUGUUUCAUUUAAGAAUUUUGAUGCUUCCUAUGUUUUAACUAACAAAUCAAGCAAGGUAGUUGCCAAAUAUGUUGGGGGCAAACACAAGGGCUCCAAGACUUGUGUUUGGGUACCCAAGGUGCUUGUUUCUAAUGUGAAAGGACCCAAGACCGUUUGGGUACCUAAGAACAAGGCCUAAAACUGUUUUGCAGGUUUAUGCAUCCGGGGGCUCAAGUUGGAUAAUUGAUAGCGAGUGCACAAACCACAUGACAGGAGAGAAAAGAAUGUUCUCCUCCUAUGAGAAAAACGAAGAUCCCCAACAAGCCAUCACAUUCGGGGAUGUAAAUCAAGGUUUGGUCAAAGGACUUGGUAAAAUUGCUAUAUCUCCUGACCAUUCUAUUUCCAAUGUUUUUCUUGUAGAUUCUUUAGAUUAUAACUUGCUUUCAGUUUCUCAAUUAUGCAAAAUGGGUUACAACUGUCUUUUUACGGAUAUAGGUGUUACUGUCUUUAGAAGAAGUGAUGAUUCCGUAGCAUUUAAGGGAGUAUUAGAGGGUCAGGUAUACUUAGUUGAUUUUAAUAGAGCUGAACUCGAUACUUGCUUAAUUGCUAAGACUAAUAUGGGUUGGCUCUAGCAUCGCCGACUAGCCCAUGUUGGGAUGAAGAAUCUUCAUAAGCUUCUAAAGGGAGAACACAUUUUGGGACUAACAAAUGUUCAUUUUGAGAAAGACAGAGUUUGUAGCGCAUGUCAAGCAGGAAAGCAAGUUGGUGCCCACCAUCCACACAAGCACAUCAUGAUAACCGACAGGCCGCUUGAGCUACUCCACAUGGAUUUAUUUGGCCCGAUCGCUUACAUAAGCGUCGGCGGGAGUAAGUAUUGUCUUGUAAUUGUGGAUGACUAUUCUCGCUUCACUUGGGUAUUAUUUUUACAGGAAAAAUCUCAAACCCAAGAGACUUUGAAGGGAUUCUUGAGACGGGCUCAAAAUGAGUUCGGAUUGAGAAUCAAAAUGAUAAGAAGCGACAAUGGGACAGAGUUCAAGAACUCACAAAUAGAAGGCUUUCUUUAGGAAGAGGGCAUCAAGCAUGAGUUCUCUUCUCCCUACACACCUCAACAAAAUGGUGUAGUGGAAAGGAAGAAUAGAACUCUAUUGGACAUGGCGAGGACCAUGAUGAGUACAAGACUCCGGACCGUUUUUGGGCUGAGGCGAUUAACACCGCCUGCUAUUCCAUCAACCGGCUCUACCUUCACCAAAUUCUCAAGAAGACAUCAUACGAACUCCUCACCGGUAAAAAGCCCAAUGUUUCAUAUUUUAGAGUCUUUGAUAGCAAAUGUUUUAUUCUUGUUAAAAGAGGUAGAAAAUCUAAAUUUGCUCCUAAGGCUGUAGAAGGCUUUUUACUUGGUUAUGACUCAAACACAAGGGCAUAUAGAGUCUUCAACAAAUCCACUGGAUUAGUUGAGGUUUCUUAUGACAUUGUGUUUGAUGAAACUAAUGGCUCCCAAGUGGAGCAAGUUGAUCUUGAUGAAUUAGAUGAUGAAGAGGCUCUGUGCGUCGCACUAAGGAACAUGUCCAUUAAGGAUGUGUGUCCUAAGGAAUCCGAAGAGCCUCCACAAGCACAAGAUCAACCGACAUCUUCCAGUCAAGCAUCUCCACCAACCCUAGAUGAGGAUCAAGCUUAAGACAAUGAAGAAUAAGAUCAAGAAGAUGAGCCACCUCAAGAGGAGGACAAUGGUCAAGGCAGAGAUGACAAUGAUCAAGACAAGGAAGAUGAUCAAGAAGUACAGGGUCCAAGACCACCACACCCAAGAGUCCACCAAGCGAUUCAAAGAGAUCACCCCAUGAACUCAAUUCUUGGUGACAUUCAUAAGGGGGUAACCACUCGAUCUCGAGUCACUCAUUUUUGUAAACAUUACUCUUUUGUCUCCUCUAUUGAGCCAUACAGGGUGGAAGAUGCACUAAGAGAUUCAGAUUGGGUGUUGGCAAUGCAAGAGGAGCUCAACAACUUCACGAGGAACGAGGUAUGGCAUUUAGUUCCACGUCCUAACCAAAAUGUUGUAGGAACCAAGUGGGUAUUCCGCAACAAGCAAGAUGAGCAUGGUGUGGUGACAAGGAACAAAGCCCGACUUGUGGCCAAAGGAUAUUCACAAGUCGAAGGUUUGGAUUUCGGUGAAACCUAUGCACCCGUAGCUAGGCUUGAAUCAAUUUGCAUAUUACUUGCCUAUGCUACUUACCAUGGCUUUAAGUUUACCAAAUGAACGUGAAAAGUGCCUUCCUCAAUGGACCAAUCAAGGAAGAGGUCUAUGUUGAGCAACCUCCCGGCUUUGAAGAUAGUGAGUACCCUAACCAUGUUUAUAAACUCUCAAAGGCGCUUUAUGGGCUCAAGCAAGCCCCAAGAGCAUGGUAUCAAUGCCUGCGAGAUUUCCUUAUCACUAAUGGCUUCAAAGUUGGAAAAGCCGAUCCUACACUCUUUACUAAAACUAUUGCAAAAUAUUUGUUUGUAUGCCAAAUUUAUGUUGAUGAUAUCAUAUUUGGGCCUACUAACAAAUCUACUUGUGAAGAGUUUAGUAGGAUCAUGAUUCAGAAAUUUGAGAUGUCUAUGAUGGGGGAGUUGAAGUAUUUCCUAGGAUUUCAAGUCAAGCAACUCCAAGAUGGCACCUUCAUCAGCCAAACAAAGUACAUACAAGACAUACUCAACAAAUUUGGAAUGAAGGAUGUUAAGCCCAUCAAGACACCCAUGGGAACUAAUGGGCAUCUCGACCUCGACACGGGAGGUAAAUCCGUAGAUCAAAAGGUAUACCGGUCGAUGAUAGGAUCUUUACUCUAUUUAUGUGCAUCUCGACCGGAUAUUAUGCUUUCUGUAUGCAUGUGUGCAAGGUUCCAAGCCGAUCCUAAGGAAGUUCACCUUAGGGCCGUGAAAAGAAUCAUGAGAUAUUUAGUUUAUACACCUAAGUUUGGACUUUGGUACCCCAAGGGAUCCACUUUUGACUUAAUAGGAUAUUCAGAUGCUGAUUGGGUAGAGUGUAAAUUGAUAGGAAGAGCACAUCAAGGACUUGUCAAUUUCUGGGGAGAUCCCUGGUGUCUUGGGCUUCAAAGAAAUAAAACUCAGUAGCUCUUUCCACCACAGAAGCCGAGUAUAUUGCCGCAAGCCAGUAUUGUUGUGCGCAAUUACUUUGGAUGAGGCAAACCCUCAGGGACUAUGGCUACAAAUUGAGCAAAGUCCCUCUCCUAUGUGACAAUGAGAGUGCAAUCCGCAUGGCGGAUAAUCCCGUUGAACACAGUCGCACUAAGCACAUAGACAUUCGGUAUCACUUUUUAAGGGAUCACAAAAAAAGGGGGAUAUUGAGAUAGCUUAUGUUAGCACCAAAGAACAAUUAGCCGAUAUCUUCACCAAACCAUUAGAUGAGAAAACCUUUACCAAACUUAGGAAUGAGCUAAACAUUCUUGAUUCUCGGAACUUUGAUUAACACUUUGCACACAUAGCUCACUUAUAUACCUUUGAUCAUAUCUCUUUCAUGACUACGACUAAUGUGUUUUCAAGUGUAUUUCUAUGCUAAGUCGUAGAUUGAAAGGGAAAUGGAGUCUUCGACAAAGACAAGGCUUCCACUCCACUCUAAUCGGUAUCAUUUACCCUUCGCCAUCACUCCACAUCACUACUCUUCAAAUUGGUACAAUCUUCACUCAUAUUUACUUGUACUAAUGGGAGAGAAAGUAAAGAGGGCUCUUAAAAGACUCCUUUUUGGCGAUUAAUGCCAAAGGGGGAGAAAUAUUAAGCCCAAAGCAAAAGGACCGCACCACCACCAAUGUCAAAAAUUUCAAGAAUUUUUUUAAAUUGAUAUUUAAAUGAAUUUGAUCUUAAGAGGAGAAUUUUAUUAAGGGGGAGUUUUGUUUAGUCAAAGGAAAAGCAUUUGAACACAGGGGGAGAAAAUUUCAAAUCUUAAAAAUGCUUCUCACAAUCUUAUUCAUAUACCUUUGACUAUUUGCAAAAAGACUCUGAAAAGGUUUUCCAAAAGAAUUUGCAAAAACAAAACAAGUGGUGCAAGCGUGGUCCAAAAUGUUAAAUAAAAGAAAACCAACCAUGCAUAUCUAGUAGAAGUAAAAUAUUGGUUUAAUUUCAAGCAACCUAUGCACUUACCUUAUGCAAACUAGUUCAAAUUUUGCACUUAUAGAUUUGCUUUGGUUUGUGUUGGCAUCAAUCACCAAAAAGGGGGAGAUUGAAAGGGAAAUAGGGUUUAACCUUUUCCUGUAAAUAAUUUUGGUGGUUGAAUGCCCAACACAAAUAAUUAGGCCUAACUGGUUUGCUCUAGAUUAUAUAUUCUACAGGUGCUAAAGGUUCAACACAAACCAAUAAAAAGAUCAAGUUAGGGUUCAAAAGAAAGGAGCAAAAAGAAACCGAAGAGAACCCUGGUCUAGCGCACCGGACUGUCCGAUGCACCACCGGACAGUUUCCGGUGCCCAGGGUCGUACGACUUCAAACUUGCCACCUUCGGGUUUCAAAAGAGCCGCUCCGCUAUAAUUCACCGCGCUGUCCGGUGCACCACCGGACUAUCCGGUGCACCAGCAGAGGAACGGCUAGGCAGCGCAACGGUCGACUCCAACGGUCGUCUGCAACGUGAACAGUGAAGAACAGUGCGCACAAAAUUUAGAGCAGCCGCCAGAGGCGCACCGGACAGUGCACAGUACCUGUCUGGUGCGACACCGGACUGUCCAGUGCCACCAGAAGACAAAGCUCCAACGGUCGAAACCGUCAGAACCCUAACGGUUGGGUGACGUGGCUAGCGCACCGUACACUGUGCGGUGGCGCACCGGACUGUCCGGUGCGCCCAUCGACAGUAGUCUGCCCCAACAGUUGAAUUGGUGGUUGGGGGAUAUAAAUACCCCCAGCCACCUCCACUCCAACCAUCCAAGCAUUCAGUACUCCUCAUUCAAUACAAGAGCAAAAUACAACACUCCAAGACACAAAUCAAAGCCUUUGAUCCAAUCAAAGUCCACAAUUCAACUCUAGUAUUUUAGGACUUGUGAGAAGAUCGUCUUGUGUUCUUUGUUGCUCUUGUUGCUUGGUUGGCUUUCUUCUUUCUCUCAUUCUUACUCUCAAAGUCUUGUAAGCAAAGCAAGAGACACCAAUUGUGUGGUGGUCCUUGCGGGGUCUAAGUGACCCGGAAAAUCAAGGAAGAAAGCUCACUCGGUCUAAGUGACCGUUUGAGAGAGGGAAAGGGUUGAAAGAGACCCGGUCUUUGUGACCACCUCAACGGGGACUAGGUUCUUUGGAACCGAACCUCGGUAAAACAAAUCGCCGUGUCAUCCGCUUUAUUUUCUUGUUUGAUUUGUUUUCCUCUCUCUCCCGGACUUAACUUUUAUUCUAACGCUAACCCCGGCUUGAAGUGUGCUUAAAGUUUGUAAAUUUCAGUUUCCGCCUAUCCACCCCCCUCUAGGCGACUUUCAAAAACCUCCAUUGAUAGUGGUUUGUUUCAUUUUCACAUGUUUCACUAUCUUCUAUUGGCCAUUGAGUUGCAACAUUUUAAUAGUAUGUUAGCCUAUGAAAUAGUGAAGUGAAAUAUUGUAUUGAGAGUCAUUGUUUCAUUCAUAAUUUCAUAGCACUUUUGACGAUGUGGCAGCGUUGAAAAGAGUGAUACAAAAGGCCCCUUUGGUAGGGAUCCUUUAAGGGCUCUUUCAACGACUUCUUGAAAAAAUCUACCAACAAACGGGAGGCUCUUUGAUGGGCUCUUUCUAGAAAAGAGGGAGUAGCUUCUCCAAAAAAAAACUAGCAGGAGCCGGGAGCUAGAAAAAGGAGCUUCUAUUGGCUCGUCUCCUAUGUUUUUCUCUUUGUCGAUGCUACAUCUUAGAAGAAGUUGCAGAAGGAGCUAUAUUUCCACUAAACAGGGUACUCUUUUUAGAGUUCUUCAUAAAAAUAAGGAGAAAUUUGUUUUCUUAGAGAAGCGAGAGCCAGGGUUGAAGCUGGCAGAAGAAGAGCCCUACUAAACGGGCCCUUAAUUCUCAUUGAGAUUGAGAAUAGGCUAAUGGUGGACGGCUGGGCACCUCCUCGGUUAUUUAUUUAUGGUAUAUAAUCGCAAACUUACAUUUUUGCAUUCAUUGAUUUCUUCAAAUCUACCUUGGCCAACGUUUGUGUAUUUGUAUCUCUAUUACUGUACCCUAUAUAAUCCACCAGUUAGGGCAUGUACAACCCUAAGCCUUUGGAAUGGUUUCUAAAUACAAGAGACAGCUAAAGACUACAUGAUACAACCCUGACAUUCGAUUUUAUUUUUCACUUAGCCCUCUAAAGACCCUUUAAAAACGCCUCAUUUAAUUGGGUUGUAUAUGCCUUUAAAACAUUAUGAAGUACACAUCAUAAAUUACCCCAUCACUAAAAUCACUUCAUUUACCUCAUCUCUCUUAAUCAAUCACAACCAAUACUUAGUAUUCUUUGGAUCAUCUCUCAUCCUUCAUUUGCCUCUAGCCACCCAGCCCUGCCAAUUCCCUAGCCCCCUUGAUCACCCUCACACGCCUCGCCUAGACGAUCAACACCGCCAUCGCCCCCAGCCCCGUGCUCGCCUCGCAUGGACGAACACCGGUGCCCUGUCGCUACCCCGCACCCCCAUACGAUCUCCCUCAAUGAUGGCAAUGAUGGUGGUUGCACGGGAACUCCGUGGCCCAAGACGAGUCUACGCCAGAUCCACAAUGUGUGUGCCAAGGCGGUGACGCACGGGAGCUCCAUGACCCACAUGGAGUCGACGUGAGCCACGUGGACGCGACGGUGGCGCUAGGUGGCCAAGCGGGAGUAGAUGGGCUAGGUGGCAUACUAGGCUACAUGUGAUGUACCAGAUGGCGCGACCCUCCUGCUACUCUCCCCCGAUCGUCCGACUUCGAGCGUGAUAGAUAGCCGGAGGUUGUGGAUCUGUGAUGGAGCGGUCCAGCAUCGGGGAACAUGGUUGGACGUGGAGGCAGUGGAGAGGGCGCCAUCAUCAUGAAGCGAUCUCUGAUCGUGAUGAUGAAGAGGAUAUGAUCGCUUGUGAUGGUGUGGGGGCGAGAAAAAACGAUGCUGAAAUCCUCAAUACAAGAAAUUGUUUCUUCGGCGUCGAGAAUAACGCGAGGACGACAGCACAACAAGCAUCUCCCCUAGUGGGCGGUGGGGGUGCGCUAGCUCUCCACUGAGAUGCGCGAGGACUGCGACAUGACGACCACCUCCCCCAACGGUCAUUUUAUUAGUAUUAGAAAGCAAUUGAAGUUCUACGAGUAGAAAAUGGGUUGGGGAAGCGAUUUUGCCAUUGCUGAUUAAGGUCAAAGCUAUAAAAUUGGAAAAAUUAUGGAUCGAUUGAUCGGGUAUUUAUAAACUUUAACUAACCAACUAACUAUUAUAGUAACUAUGGAAAAUUCUCUAUUGAGUAGUUUAUGUGAUUAUGAUAAUCUGACCUCAAGAUUAUAUAAUCUAGUUUAAUAAUCUGACUGUUUGUUCCUAUCUAGUAUGAUGUUUGGUUCUCUAUAGAUUUUAAGAAGUGCACAAAAUAUAAUACACAUCACAUUAUCAAGUUUUGUUGGUAUUGCGAGACUGACACAAAAUCCAAUCCAAAAUUCAAAAAUUGUUUGGCUAAUAAUGAGACGACACUGCAAAGGUGCACGGCACCAACCUCUUGGGAUUCCUACGCAACAACUCUACCUUGUUUUAUCACAAAUGACAUCCCAUACUUCCUAAUUAUCACAUGUGAACCCAUUGCAAUGUAACGUUGCUUUUCAACGAAGGCACCGUCAUCUCAUCCAAAGUGAGGGAAUUUUGGCAUAUGGUUGAAUCAUGGUAAACCAAGACCGGCACAGCUUGUUACUGGUAGGAUGAUAUGCUUCUCACUUUUGAGUUUCGACUUCCCUCAUAAAGAACAUUCAUUCCUGUUGAUGAAUAAUUUCGCAACGUGUAAAUAUAGCCGAAAGACACUCAAAGUUGAUGCUUUCUGAUCAAGCAAACCUUUGAUAUUCGAACUGUAAUAUUUUUAUGACAAUAUUGGCUUGAGAGCUUAGAUAUGUAACUCCGUCAUGUUCAUUCUUGUUCUUGUUACAUAUCGAAGGAAAAGAAAUGGCAAGAAAAUCAUAGAGCAAAUGCAAAAUGCAUUAAAACUCUCCUUUUUUUUCCGUAAAAGAGAGAGAAGUCCCAAAGAACAGGUUGAUUGGCGAUGAGCAGUGGGAUGGAUACGGUGGGGGUCGGGAUGGAAGCUGGCGUCGUGGGUGACCGUGCAAUACAUCCAAAAUAGGAGGAGUGACGUGGGAAAGCUCCCCGCGUCCUCCUCUUCCUUUCCUCCUCUCGUCGUCCAGGGAAGGAUGCAGGAUGCUCUCCGUCCCUCCCCCACCACCUGAGGAGGAAAGCAAGAAAUUUUUAACCAACCAAACGCACCACCGCGUGCCUCCGUGAUUCCCAGCCCAAUUAACCCGGAACAGAAGAGAAGAGCUCGCCACGCCACCGGUGGGAUCGCCGGACACCUACGCGGGCCUGGCCUUGGGAUCCCCGGAACGCGGGGCGUGGGAAACCGAGGAGGAGCAUGUCGCGGGUGGCGUCGCUGUCGCCGUCCUUGUCGGGCGACGAGGUGGAGGUGGAGGAGGAAGAGGAGGACGAGGGCGUCGACGGCUACCGCAAGGGCGGCUACCACGCCGUCCGCCCCGGGGACCAGUUCGCCGCCGGCCGCUACGUCGCCCAGCGGAAGCUCGGCUGGGGCAACUUCUCCACCGUCUGGCUCGCCUUCGACGUCCAGUCACAGGUAGGCGCGCCCUCGCUCUGGCCUCUUCCGCAUGAGAUCACGGCAUCUCCCCGCUUCCCGCGCGGCGAUCCCUCCGCUCCGCUUCGUAAUGCGAUUGCCCGCCUAGAUCUUGCGCUUUGUCGAUUAGCGGGGCACCGAUAGAUCGCUUGAUCGGAUCGCAAGUACCGCUGGCGCCUCGUGCGGUUGGCUGGCGCGCGCCUGGCCUGCCCUGACCUAGGACCCCACUCGAGGUCGAGGGGAAUGGGUGUGGGAUUGGGAUUGGGAUUGCGACGGGGCUGUCGGAUACUCCCUCGGAUUUUAUAGGCUUCGUUUCACUAGAGUAUGGAUUCGGUUUGUCGUUUCUUUCCUCAUUUGGGAGUUCGGUUCAUCCGUUUGCCGCUCCCAUGGGAAAGCCUUUACUCUUCCGUCACCUAGCAACCAGAUGGGUUCAGGUCUUACGCGCUCGAGGGAAACUAUGCCAAAUCGAAGUUUUCAUUUAUUUUCUAAGAGUACAAUUGCAAAAAUAAAUUCAUUUGCCAGUACCGGAGGCAAACUCUUUUAAUGCCCCUCUUUUCUCAUAUUAAUGUGGCUUAUUACGUUUAGCUACAACCAUGAUUAUAAUUAUUGCUCUGGAUGAAUAGAGUUGUGAAAUUGAUAAAAAACAACAACUGAACAUUGUUUUUACAAAUGGUACUCCUUUCUGCAGAGAUACGUGGCCCUGAAGAUCCAAAAGAGUGCGCCUGAGUUUGCGCAAGCUGCUCUUCAUGAAAUCGAGUUCCUGUCAGAGAUCACCAAGAAGGACCCAUUGAACUGCAAAUGCAUUAUUCAGCUGAUAGAUCACUUCAAGCACACGGGGCCUAACGGACAGCAUAUCUGCCUCGUCUUUGAGUUACUGGGAGAUAGCUUGCUUAAGCUGGUACAGUACAACCGGUACAAAGGCAUCGGGCUUGAUAGGGUGAGGCAAAUAUGCAAGUCGAUCUUGGUAGGUCUUGACUACUUGCACAAUGAGCUUGGCAUCAUCCACUCAGAUUUGAAGCUCGAGAACCUUCUCCUUCUCUCGACCAUUGAUCCCUCCAAGGACCCCAUUCGCUCUGGCCUCAAACCUUGCCUUGAGAGGCCUGAGGGAAACCCUAACGGUGAAGCUGGGAUUAAUGCGAUUGAGAAUAAGCUAAAGAUGAGAGCAAGGAGGGUGCUUGCAAAGCUUGCUGAGAAAAGAAAAUCAGCUGUGGAAUCUUCACGCUCAGAAAGGAGCUUGGGUGGAAUUGAUCUUACAUGCAAGAUUGUAGACUUUGGGAAUGCUUGCUGGGCCGACAAACAAUUUACAGAUUUUAUUCAGACAAGGCAGUACCGGGCACCAGAGGUCAUUCUAGGUGCAGGAUACUCGUUUUCUGUUGACAUGUGGUCAUUUGCGUGUAUCGCUUUUGAGCUCGCAACCGGAGAAAUGCUAUUUACACCCAAGGAAGGCCAUGGAUACAGUGAAGAUGAGGUAUAUAUCGCAUUCCUCAUGAGCCUAGCUAUUUUGUUCAUCUUUGAGUUGGCUUCAAUUAUGCAGUGCAUGCCCACAAUCCCAUUAUAGACUGAUCCGAUUUAAUGAAGUGAAAAAGUAAGCACUGACAUGGACACACAUUGUAUGUUAUCCGUAAGAUGAAGUAUGUCUAAACUCAGAAAACAACCAUAGUCAACAUGAAUAUGCUUAGCACUAGAAUUUGGAGCUGUACAAAAAAACAAAAAAACCCUCCAUUACUCCUGUAAUUCUGUUUACCUUGAAGAGCUACAGCAAAUAAUAUUUGCACCCAAAAAAAAUAUCAUGGGAAUGGUUUUCAUUUCAGCCUUCAAGAUUAAAAACUGCUAUUGUUCUCAACUUUGAAUAUUACAAUAGUCUGAAAUGCCAGUUCCAAUACAGACAUUGAAAUUUCGGUUAAUUUGGCAUCUUGGCAUUAUCAUGAAAGCUAAGCCUUGCAAACUCUAG
Molecule: long non-coding RNA, 64137 nt
Filed under: Zea mays
Lineage: Eukaryota; Viridiplantae; Streptophyta; Magnoliopsida; Poales; Poaceae
Description: long non-coding RNA (ZMAY_LNC004538)
Source: RNAcentral